AGAACUCAAGUAUUGAAAUCUGUCCUUUUUAUAUAAAAGUAAGAAGCUAAUACAACAUUUUAUUUUCAUUAAAAUUGCCCUCGUUAUCCAAGGUUCAUUCAAAAAAAUAAAGUUUAUGUAAUGGAAUUUGAAAGUAGAAAUUUUUUUUCUAAUUAAUCAAUAUGAAUUGUUGUACCCAUUUCAUUUUGAUUGAUGGAAUAAUUUGUACUUUGACCUGCAGAGUCUGCUGAAUGCAAAGAUCCAACUUCUAAAAGUGGGUAUUCUAUGCUAUUCGUUCAGUCCUGUUUAGAUUGGAUUCGGGUUGAGUUUGAAAUGUGUUUGUAUUAGAUUCGAAUCAGACCUAAUUAAUUUCGGACGGCAAUUGCACAUUAAAAUAAUAAUAAUAAUAAAUAUUGAAAGCAAAAGACAAGGCUAUUUUAUUCCUAAGUAAUCUAAACUAAGAUGCCAUUAUUGACCAAUUCCAAGAUCUUAAAAUUAGAAAGUAGCAGCAGCAGCCGCGCGAUUUCAUGUUAUAAAUUUCAUGAACACAUAUUCAAACACCAUCAAUUAGAUAGAAAGUAGGGUACUGUUCAUACAACAAUAUUACUGUAGCACACAAAACCACAAUAUUCUUUAUGCUACAGUACUGUCAUUUUUAUCAUGGUGGUGUUUUGUCGAUUGUCAAAUAUCAUUAUUCAUAUUUCGUUAUUUCAUUGUCUCACAGUUUGUAGAAAUGCUCAGUCUCAGUUAAGUACAGCAGCAGCGGAUGCUGUGAAGCAGCUGAUUCCAGAAUCAGCAGAUACUGACUUGCUUCCACCUCAAGACUGUGGAUUAUCAAAGCAUGCCCCGAGUUCUACUCCACAGACAAGAGCAACACUUGCACCACCAAACACUUGUACUUCGGCCUGUAUCUGCAUGCAAAUUCACGGAGGUCACGGUCAUGAGUUUGUUUCUUCAUGCAAAGCAACGGCCACUGCUGCGUUGUUUCUUCUUAUUUCUGCCAAUUCGAAGUCUAGCUGAGAGUGAACAGACACAAAUUCGCCUAAGCCAUACUUAGAGCUCUGGCAAUUAAGCUGGCAACAACCGCUACAAGCAUUGCUUUGGACUACUGCUGCUUGAUAGUGCCGACUCCUAUUACUUGUGAAGAUGUUGACAUAAUGCCAUCGUUGGCUUCUAAGAUUGCUGCUCUAAUCAACUGAGAGCGUUUUGAAUAGUCCCCGCUGUUGGCUGUUUCUGCUGUUGACUGAUUACUAGUGAUCUCAGAUGGUUGGCAGAAAACUCAAAAGAGGAGAGAAUACAGAAGCGGAUCGUGCCCUUUAAGUCACAUGUUGCUUUCUACCACAUCGUUUCAAACGAAGUUUUACUAUAAUAUUUCUCUAGUUUGGACUUGGUAUGUAAUUAAUAGUCAUUGCUUUGGUCAAUACACAGCCUCUUUUCCUUGUACAUGAAGGGAAUAUUUAGAUUGUUAUUCUUUCAUCCAGAAUAAGGACAUGAAAGAGCACGAUUUUUGUAUCUAUUAGAAUAGACCGAACAAUUUUUGUCAGAAGUAAUUAUGUAUAUUGACAGUAUAGCUGAACAGGUUGAGGAAAUAUAUAUCUGUUGAGAGAAGACUUGUUCUCGUAAGACAAAAAUUCUAGCCUCUAUGCUUGCAGCUGGAGGGGCCUCUGUUUCUGAACGGGGGAACUCUGUUUCAGCAGGCUUGCUUAGAAGGGUUGGAUUCGUUACUGGGGCAAAUUGGACACAUGAUGAGGUGCAAAUUUAGGAAUAUUUUUGUCUCAUAUAAGAUAAAAAAUAUAUGCACGUAGCCGUUUACAAAGUGAUCAAUUCAUCACACACGAAACAAAUAAUUGAUCUGCAAGUCAUCGUAAUUCGUUUCAAUUUUCUACCUGCGAGCUCACAACAUUCAAAUACUUCACAAAGUCUACAAAGUUAAUAAAUAAAUAUACGUGACAGACUUAUUCUCAGACCAUUUCAAUAUUGGCAAAUAAUAAGUCUCUAAUUUUUAUGAGUCUGCUCAUAAUUUCUUUUGUGUUGACCCUAUUCUCAGGUGAUUCGCUUGCACACUCCAUUGCUAAACUCAAAACAGAUGAUGCACAUGACUGCUUUGCAACAUUAGCGUGUUCUUCAUCUUCACUCAGUAGAUUUGCAUCCAUGAUAUUCAUCACCGCAGGUAACGAGUCGUUAACCCAACGCUUUAUGCUCAUUUCUCCAGUAAAAAAUUCGUUUGUGGGUUUCAUUCCUGUAAAUACUUCCAUCAACAUAAUCCCAUAGCUGUACACAUCACCUUUUAUUGACACUUGUCCUUCUCUUCCAUACUCUAUAGAUUGCAUAAAUUAAAACAUCAGCAUUCAAUAAUAUUCUGCCAAGAAGAUAAUGAAAAACCAAUACUAAUAUAGUUUAAAAUUAACAAAUAUGAAGCUUAGAACAAACCUGGUGCCAUGUAACCUAUCGUGGCGAGUGUUCGUGUUUGUUUCAUAGAGUCUUCUUCACUUAAGAGCUUUGCAAUCCCAAAAUCACUUAAAUGUGCAACCAUGUUGUCGUCCAACAAUACGUUGCUAGGCUUCACGUCGCAAUGGACAAUAGGAUUGGAAUGACCAAAGUGGAGAUAUUCUAAAGCUGAUGCAACAUCUAUCAUUAUGCCCAAUCUCUGAAAAAUAUCCAAAUUAAAAUUGCUAGCGUACAAACAAUCCUCCAGACUCCCAUUCGGCAUGUACUCUAGUACCAAUGCUUUGAAAUUCUGAUUUGUACAACUGCUGAUAGUUUUGACCAAGUUUCUAUGGCGAAUAGUUUUUAAUAUUUCACAUUCCGCAUCGAAACUAUUUAAUGCUCCUUCACGUUGUAAGUGAAAUACCUUUAUUGCAACCUCAAUCCCAUCUGGAAAUCUGCCUUUAUAAACCGAGCCAUAACUUCCAAUCCCAAUGAGGUUUUUUUCACUAAAUUGAUCCGUUGCUCGCAAAAGCUCAUCAUGUGAGUAUCUUCUCCACAUCACUUGUGGUGACAUAUCAGCUUUAAUGUGUGAAACCUCUGUGCUUCUUCUUUUACGACAUCUGGUGAUCAAUCCAAAUGUAAGAGCCAGUAUGACUGUAACAAUGAACACCGUGCUCAAAGGCAAAACAACUCCUAAGAGAAUAACUUUUUUCCUUGAUUUGUUCUGAGGGCUACUUUUGCAAAGUGGGACUUGCAGAUGGGGUGAACCACACAACAAAUCAUUUCCUAUAAAUGAUUCAACUGAGAAGUUUGCAAAAGCUCCUCCUCUGGGAAUCUCUCCUACUAGUUUAUUGAAAGAGAGAUUUAGACUUUUGAGGUACAAGAGUUUCUCCAAAGAUGUAGGAAUAACACCGGAAAGAUUAUUAUUAGAUAAAUCCAAGAAUUCCAAGCUUAUCAACUCACCAAAAGAUUCUGGAAUAGGACCUUGUAAUCUAUUGUGUUUCAAGGAAAGACUUUGCAAAUUUUUUAGGCCUACAAUUGUGGUCGGGAUAUUCCCCGAUAAAUGAUUCCUUGACAAAUAUAUGCUUACGACAGCUUUCAGAUUUCCAAUCUCCAAUGGAAGAGACCCAUUUAAAGAAUUUGAUGAAAAGUCGAAGCUCAGUAUAUCUUCAAGGUUCCAAAAAGUUGAAGGUAUGACAGAAGUUAACUCAUUUGAACCCAGAGAGAGUAUCCGUAGAGAGUUCAGAUCACCUAAGCAUGAAGGGAUUGAUCCUGAAAGCUUGUUGCGGUUCAGGUAAAACUUAUAGAGUCUAGAGAAAUGGCAAAACUCCUGUGGGAUUGGUCCUUCAAAUUUAUUAUUUUGAAGAUCCAAACCUUGGAGUUUCUUUAGUCUACCGAGUGUAAUUGGAAGUGAUCCACUCAAAUUAUUGUAUCCUAAACUCAGCUUUGUCAAGUUGAUCAAGUUGCCAAUCUCUUUAGGAAUCCUGCCGUGAAUGUUACAUUUGUACAUGUAGAUUUCUUCCACAGAAACUGAAAGAUUACCUAUGGAACUUGGAAGGACACCAUCCACAGGAUUUUCCGCUAAAACAAUCACUUUUAAACUCUUGCAGUUUACCAAAGCAGAAAAUAAGCUCAUCAAUUCGGAGGUUGAAGAUGUCAAGUAGUUGCUUUGUAACCCAAGCCUCUCCAGGUUUCUUAAUUGGCCCAAUGCCUUAGGAAUAAGUCCUGAGAAGGAGUUAUAUGCCAGCUCUAGGUAAUAGAGCUUGGAAGCAUUGAAAAAGAAACUUGGAAUACUGCCACUAAAAUUGUUAAGCCCCAAGAUCAAUCCCUCGAGAUUUGGAAGUCCAAUUAAGUUCUUGCUAGAUGGAAGAUUUCCUGAGAGGGUAUUGUUCAAGAGGCUUAGUGUUUUCAAUGUUGACAUGUUGAAGAUUGUAUCUGGGAUAAAACCGACUAGGUUGUUUUGAUCAAUCCUCAAAAUCUCUAAAUUACGUAGACUACCGAUUUCUUGUGGAAUCUCACCUGCAAACAUGUACAUAAUUACAUAUUGUUAUGCUAAAUUUUGAACAUUUCGAAGGAUUUGUAAUGAUUAAUUUCUUCCACAUAUGUGUACUUUAGAAAAAACUGUGUUAUAGAUAAUAGAUGGUAAAUGGCCGGGGUACGUACCGAUCAAGUUGUUAAAGCUAAGAUAGAGUAAUUCGAGCUUGGUCGAGUUCCCAAGAUCUCUUGGUAUACGGCCUGUGAAUUGAUUAAAUGACAAGGAAACCCUACUAAGCUCUUUACAGUGCCACAAAUUGUUUGGAAUUGGCCCUUUGAAUUGAUUGUAAGACACGUACAAUCCUUUAAGACGUGGAAGGCCUUCACACAUGUCAUCAGGAAAGCUACCGGUUAGGCUAUUAUUUGAAAAAUCCAAACCAGUUGAUAUGGAAGAAAGAUUGAAGAUUGAAGCAGGAAUGGUUCCUGUUAACAAGUUAUUAUUUAGCACUAACACUUCCAAUUCUGCAAGAUUGCCCAACUCCUCAGGAAUUUCUCCUGCAAAUUAAAUAAAGCAACAUGUGUUAAUAAUAUAUUUACCAUUCAACUUAAUCAGAAUAUAACAGCUAUAGAGUGAAACAUGUUAUCUAGGCACAUAAAUUUAGCACAAACUGAUGCGGCAUUAUAUCAUGUGGCCUAUGUAGUGUUUUCAUUCAACCAAUCAUGUUAUGUCAAGUUAAUUUGUACAAAAAUAAUUUGUAAAAGAAUUUAUAGGUGUAUCAUUACUCAUUUACAUAACACUAGUGAUGGAACUAGUAUUUUAAUUUUGACAAGAGCUGUAAACUAUUUACUUAAAGUGAAUGUAACAUAAAUUAAGUGGGCUGAUAGUCAUGACCAUAAUAGAGAAAUUAUAAAACUAUGUGGGUUGUAACAAAAUUAAAUUAAAUUAAUGGGGCCAAAACAUAAAUAAACAUAUAGUUUGGUUAAUUUUCAAGCAGCCCUUGUUUUCCUGAAUAUCUUUCCAGCAUAGGCCCCAAGCCUAGACACAUAGCUCCGCCCCUUACACAACACUCUUGUGUAUAAAUGAGUACGCCAUAACAGUAAUAUCUAUAAAAUCUAUGAACAAAAGUAUGCAUAGAAAUUGAUAAAAUUUUCAUUUUAACCCCUAAUUUGCCUGAAAUCUUUUCCAAUCUGACCUCAAGGCCCUACACAUAAUUUUGCCCCUACAUAUCACUCUAUGCGUAUGUGUCAAUUAAUUCAAUGAGUAAAAUCUAUAGGCUGGAUUGCUGGAACAUAUUAUCUGGCAACGUAAAUUAAAAAGAAAAUAAAAAAUAAAACAAAUUAACACUUUGUGAUUUUUAUUUAUACCUUGGAGUUUGUUAUAGGGAAGACGUAACUCUUUAAGCUUUGUCAAAUUGCCGAUUUCUUUUGGUAUGGUACCCGAAAACCAAUUAUGACUGAGAACGAGUGUUUGCAGCGAAGAAAGGUUUCCAAGAUAAGAAGGGAUGGUGCCUGUGAGGCCAAGAUCAGGAAUGGUCAAGGAUGUGACUCUAUUGCCAUAGACAUCACAAGUGAUGCCCAUCCAGCUACAAACCGAAGUAUUUGAGGUCCAAUUUUGAGCCAAAAUAUUGUUGGGAUUAUCAUUGAUUAUAUGAGCUUUUACGGAAAGAAGAGCAUCUUGGUCUCUGGAUAUGUUUGCUGCAGCUGCCACAACAACUGAGAAAAGAAUCAAAUAAGGGACAAAGAGAUAUUGAUCGUUUCUCCCCAUGUUAAUUUUCCAAAGAACAAGCAAAUGCUAGUUAAGUAUAAAUAAUGAUACCCAAUAAUUUAUAACGAGCAGCCAAGUUGGAAUGCAUCUUUUUUAAUUUACAAUACCAGACACCAAGUACCCAGUUUUAAUAAAUGAUCAUCUUGUUUAGUUUAUUCCACCUCCGCUAGUUGUCUAUCAAAUGAUAAUUAAUCUAUGAUGUGCCAAUCACACUAUUAUUUUUAUUAAACACAAAUUGUUAUCUUACAAUUGGGUGGUGGUUAAGUAAUUUUACUUACUAUAAAAUACAUCUUUCAAUAAAUGAGUGAUACAUAAUAAUAUAAUAUUGAAAUUUAAGUUGAGACUCAAACAGUGAGAUCCUUAACAUUAUUGUUUUAUUUUAUUAUUAUUGUUUUUUUGUUAAUGUAUCAUAAUCUCACUCAGUUAGAAGGCCCAUGUUUUCCUAUUUAUAAAAUUCAUACCUUGUAACCUUUAAAUCUCAAGAAUUCAAAUCUGACAGACAGCUCGGCAUUGAGAUACUGCAAAAGAUACGACCAAUUCAUAUAUCCUAGUCUUGUGUUUUUCUUUAAUAUUGCAUGACAAAUCUAGUUACUUGUACUUUCAACAUUACAUGAUAAAUCGAGCUACUUGUAUUUACAAAUUAAAGAUCAAUUAAAAUCUCCUAAAUUAAUUCUUUAAUUUCGCAAAUUUAGAUAUCAAUGGACUCAAUCUCAACUCUCUUUUCAUAUGUAUGAGUAAGAAAAUAGUUCACUAUUUGAACGUCAUAUAUGAUUCCUGAUUUAAAAUUUAUAUCCUUUUAAAUAUGACAUUAAUUACUAAUGACCAUAUGUGAGGUUGUCGUUGUUGUGCGUGUGUAUGUACAUAUACAAUUUUUUUUCUAAUGAAGACAUCCGCACUUUGUUAAAGUGAGAGUGCACAUUAAAAUAUAAAAAAAUAUUGAUUUCAAUAUAUUGGAGACUGUGUUUUUUUUUUGUUAGUAUAUUGAAAUAUGUAUUUUUUUUUAUCUAUUAGUAACAUCUUCACUUAAAGUGAGAAUGUCCUCGCUGAAGAAUUAUUUUAUAUAUAUUCUAAAUUUAUUAAAGUUCAAAAAAAUUAUUAAGCCAUAAACUAUUAAAAUAUAUGAUUUAAUAAUUUUCUCGAAUUGUAAUAAAUUUUAAGAUCUUAAAUCAUAUCAAUACUCUCUCUUUCAUACAUAAAUGAUACUCAAAUUUUAUUAAAGAAAUAAAAGGGAGAGAAUUACAAGAUGAAUUACAAUAUAUGGGUGGACCGUGGACCUAGACUUCCUCAAGAAUAUUCUUUUUUAAUUAAAACGAAAGGAUCAUUCCCACCCAUCAAAAUCAUUGGGUACAUGACCAAAUUAAUAAAACUACGAGCAACGGAGUAAAAUUACCCUCGCGAUGGAUGCACCACCAUUCUGCACGUAAUUACCACGGAGGCUUGAAACUGGAACUCACAUGCUAAAAGCCAAGUUGAGGUUGUUGUUGUUGAACUUGUCUUGUCUUUUUUAUGAUAAUAUAUAAUUAAGCAGUACCUAUCACUGCCACGUCAGUCGUAAAGGCGAAUUAGGAUACACAAAGAAAAUAUGGGUCCGGCUACAGUACAUGCAGGUAUGUGAUACAGGCAAGCAAUAAAAAAAGGAAAAAAACUGAGCAAUGGUUUGGCUGCCAAGUACAAAAAAACAAAAGUAGGAGCAACCGGUUUUUAAAAGGAAAAAAACUGAGCAAUGGUUUGCCUGCCAAGUACAAAAAAAAAAAAGUAGGAGCAACCGGUUUUUGCAACCGGUUGCCCCUUAAAUUAAUUAAAUAAUAUAAUAAUAUUUAAUUAUAAUAAAAAAUAUUAAUAAAAUAAUCAUUAUUUUAAUAUUAAAGGACAAAUAACAAUAAAAAUCUAUUUUUAUAAAAAUAAAAAAAGGUUUCAAGUUUAUUGUUAUAGAUAUCAAGUUAAUGGUCUUGAUUUCAUGUUUAUUGGUCCAUUAAUUUCUUUAUUUUCAUGGUUGCAAGUUAAUGAUCUCCAGUUUCAUGUUCAUUGCCCUAAGUUUCAAGUUUAGGGGUUUCAAGUUUAAUGGUUUAGAUAUCAAGUUAAUGGCCAUGGUUUCAUGUUUAUUGGUCCAUUAAUUAAAUGAUUUUCAUGGUUGCAAGUUAAUAAUAUCAUGUUUCAUGUUUAUUGCCCUAAGUUUCAAGUUGAUUAAUUAAAUAUUUUUAAUGGUUGCAAGUUUAUGAUCUCAUGUUUCAUGUUUAUUGCCCUAUGUUUCAAGUUCACUGGUUUCACGUUUAACGGUUUCGAUAUAAAGUUAAUGGUCAUGGUUUCAUGUUUAUUGGUCCAUUAAUUAAAUGAUUUUCAUGGUUGCAAGUUAAUGAUCUCAUGUUUCAGGUUUAUUGGCCUACGUUUCAAGUUCAUUAAUUAAAUAUUUUUAAUGGUUGCAAGUUAAUGAUCUCAUGUUUCAAGUUUGUUGGCCUAAGUUUCAAGUUUACUGGUUUCAAGUUUAAUGGUUUAUAUAUCAAGUUAAUGGUCAUGGUUUCAUGUUUAUUGGUCCAUUAAUUAAAUGAUUUUCAAGGUUGCAAGUUAGUGAUAUCAUAUUUCAUGUUUAUUGCCCUAAGUUUCAAGUUCAUUAAUUAAAUAUUUUUAAUGGUUGCAAGUUAAUGAUCUCAUGUUUCAAGUUUAUUGGCCUAAGUUUCAAUUUUAUUGGUUUCAAGUUUAAUGGCUUAUAUAUCAAGUUAAUGGUCAUGGUUUUAUGUUUAUUGGUCCGUUAAUUAAAUUAUUUUCAAGAUUGCAAGUUAAUGAUAUUAUAUUUCAUGUUUAUUGCCCUAAGUUUCAAGUUCAUUAAUUAAAUGAUUUUCAUGGUUGCAAGUUAAUGAUAUCAUAUUUCAUGUUUAUUGCCCUAAGUUUCAAGUUCAUUAAUUAAAUAUUUUUAAUGGUUGCAAGUUAAUGAUAUCAUGUUUCAGGUUUAUUGGCCUAUGUUUCAAGUUCACUGGUUUCACGUUUAAUGGUUUCGAUAUCAAGUUAAUGGUGAUUGUUUCAUGUUUAUUGAUCCAUUAAAUAUAUGAUUUUCAAGGUUGCAAGUUAAUGAUAUCAUAUUUCAUGUUUAUUGCCCUAAGUUUCAAGUUCAUUAAUUAAAUAUUUUUAAUGGUUGCAAGUUAAUGAUCUCCUGUUUCAGGUUUAUUGGUCUAAGUUUCAAGUUUACUGGUUUCAAGUUUAAUGGUUUAUAUAUCAAGUUAAUGGUCAUGGUUUUAUGUUUAUUGGUCCGUUAAUUAAAUUAUUUUCAAGAUUGCAAGUUAAUGAUAUUAUAUUUCAUGUUUAUUGCCCUAAGUUUCAAGUUCAUUAAUUAAAUGAUUUUCAUGGUUGCAAGUUAAUGAUAUCAUAUUUCAUGUUUAUUGCCCUAAGUUUCAAGUUCACUGGUUUCACGUUUAAUGGUUUCAAUAUCAAGUUAAUGGUGAUGGUUUCAUGUUUAUUGGUCCAUUAAAUAUAUGAUUUUCAAGGUUGCACGUUAAUGAUCUCAUGUUUCAGGUUUAUUGGCCUAAGUUUCAAGUUUAUUGGUUUCAAGUUUAAUGGUUUAUAUAUCAAGUUAAUGAUCAUGGUUUCAUGUUUAUUGGUCCAUUAAUUAAAUAAUUUUCAAGGUUGCAAGUUAAUGAUCUCAAGUUUCAUGUUCAUUGCCCUAAGUUUCAGGUUCCUUCUGUUUCAAGUUUAAUGGUCCCGGUAUCAAGUUAAUGGUCCUGAUUUCAUGUUUAUUGGUCCAAUAACUGCAUGAUUUCCAUAGUGCAAGUUAAUGAUCGCAUGUUUGAAGUUAAUGAUUUAAUGUUCCUUUAGUUUCCUUUGCUUCCGCUGAAUAACAAAUAUUGUGUUUUAGGUCAAGAUGAACCGAUUAAAUAGCAUGCAAAAUGGUUUGAAAUCAAUGUGCGUGAGUAAUUUCAACAAAAAGAAGUGAAUGAGGAGUUGGCAUAAGCAGCCAGAAGUUGCAGCUACUAAUGGCCCUGCUGCUAAUGCUUAUUUUGGGGAUUUCAGUUGCUGCUGCUGUUGGCAUAAGCAAUAGCAGCAGCAACAACACCAGCAGCAGCAUCUGCUGCUGCUGCUAGCUGCCAGCAGCUGCAGAACCAGCAACAGUAGUAGCUAGCAGCUGUUGCUUUUGCAGGCACUAGCUGCUGCUGGAAUGCCAGCAGCCACCAGCAGCUGCUUUUGCAACCAGCAGCUGCUGGCAUUCCAGCAGCAGCUGCAGCAGCAACAACACCAGCAUUGAUUCUUGCUACUGCUGCUAGCUGCCAGCAGCUGCAGAACCAACAACAACAGCAGCUAGCAGCUGCUGCUGGAAUGCCAGCAGUUGUUGCUGCAUAAGCAGCUGUAGCAGCAGCUUACCAAUUGCUGCUUAUGCAGCUACCAGCUGUUGUUGGAAUGCCAGCAGCUGCAGCAACAACAACACCAGCAGCUACCAGCUGCUGCUUUUGCAGCCACCAGCUGCUGGCAUUCCAGUGAGACUUGAUCAUACGGGGACAACUGGUACCGCCUCGACUUUCGAUUUCUGUAUGGCCGAGGAGGGCCUAAAGACAGCGGAUUAAAAUCUUGCGGCUGUUGACAUUUCUUCUCUUGUUGUGCGGAAGACUACAUAUUUAUUCAAGACAAAGAAAGAAGAAAGAUUAGACUAAAUCAUAUAUAGUUUAGACAAAAUUUAACAAAUUAUUACUCUAUGUAUACCUCAUCUUCAAGUUCCGGCACCAAUUUAGGCUUCAUCGCGUCUUGCAAUACUUCUGCCAAUUUUUCUUUUAGGACAACCUCUUCAUCAGUGGAUGUGCUGAGGUACGCAAUUUUUUGUUCUUUAACUUCGAUGGGCGUACGCUUUUCCCAUACUAUAUCUGAAAGUGUGACAACUGCAGGGAUAGGCGGGUGCAUCUCCAUAUUCGGAGAGGAAAAGAUUGGACCAUCAGUUGCCUCAGCACCAGUAUAUGUAGGAGGUGAUUGACUAUCAUCAGCGACAUUCGUUCCUUCUUGACGAAAAUAUGCUCGUUCCAACUUUUCAACCUUUUCAGUAAGAGAAUCCAUUUUCGAGCCCAUUUUUUGUAGUAAAUCAUUAUUUCUUCUCAUAUGUUCCUCCAUUCUAUCCAUUACUGCUAAUAUAGCAUGAAAUGGAUGCUACCUUGCGGCGUCACCAUCGUCAAUUUGUCCUUCACUUUGAGCACAUGAUGUGCCGCAGCUGAUUUCUCGCAUCGGAACCUGCAUUAACUACAAAUAUCCAUAAAUAAUCUAUUCAAUUUAAUAACAUAACUACAAAACACUAUACAAUUAUGGAAGGGAACAAACCGCAUUGCUCUCAAAGUCACCAUACUUUUGUCGCCACUUGAGGAAUCUUUUUAUUUCACUAUCAGUCCAUGCACUAAGAGGACAUCCAUUCUCGACAACAGAAGAAAGCUGAAACUUAGUUGAUGACAUGUAGAACAGCUGCAAACAACAACAAAUUGAUUAAUAUGGAAAUAAUGAUCGAUAAUACCAUAAUCGUUUAACUAACGAGAAUACAAAUUACUAAAUAAAUCAUACCAUUAAAAAUAUAACACAUCCGUUCAUCGAGGAAAUUUUAUUUUCAUUGAACUUUGAAACUUCUUCCCAUAAAAAAUUGAAAGACCAGCUGGCCCAAUUUUUGCCGCGAAUAUUACUCACGUCUUUUAAAGCAUAAAGGUAUGAUGGGUUGAUGUAUGUAGUUGUAGUUGGACACAAAAUAGUUCCAAUCGCAAAUAGACUAAAUAGAAUACAGAAAUCUUCAUCUGCACAACUAUUUGUCUUUAAUUUGUCAUCUAAACUACCUAUUGGGAUGCCUUUCUUUCCUGAGCAAUACUUGGCUCGUAAGUCAGUAAUUUCACUAUCUUCACCACCAAGCACAAUCGGUGUUCCUCCGUCACCAACACCCAUCACGCUUGUAAAAGUUUCUGGAGUAAGCUUGUAUUCCAUUCCAUGGACUGUUAUCGACCGCUUAUCUACGUUACAUUGCUUAACUAACAAUCUACAUAAAUCUUGCCUAAGUCGCUCACAUUUUAAACCUAACAAGCUUCCAAAACCAAUUUCUCUCACAACAUCUUGUUGUUCAAUAGAUAACGAAGAAACAAUGUUGGAGAACCGCAAAACACUACAUCGAGAUAGGUGAUUACCCUUAUCAGAAUUGUUCUCCACUGUUGGAAUCGGUUCACUUAACAAUCCAUUGGCCAAUCUCGAGUUCAUUUCAGCCUUUUCAUUAUAACUGUUGAUGAAUUCGGCUUUAUUUUUCGCGCUGAGUUUCAACCAUUUGUCACGUAUAUGCCCCUUAACCUACACUAAAAAAAAAAAAAAAUUCAUUGGCCAAUCAUCAACGAAACUAUUAGUUAGUAGACUGCAACAUAGAAAAGUUAUCUACAAACCGUUUCAUCCACCUUCACACCUUCCUCCUUUAACUUUUGGAAUUCUAUCUUGCUGUAAAUAGAAAAAUAAUAUCAAAUAUCAGUUCCUUAUAUGUCAAUUAAAAUUAUUGCACUGUUAAACUGAAAUGACUACAGAAUGUCAAAAAUAAAAUUCAACAAUGAAUUAGUUUCUUACAAGUAGUAUAUGUACGAAUGCUUGCCCGGCCUCGGAGGAUCCAGCUUCUCAGACUGAAUAUUAAUGUCAUCUGCGACAUUGGCCUUACGCUUAACCAUUAUACUGUGUACACUAAAAAUUAUGUCCCCUGUCAAUACACACUGAUAAUGUCAUCAAACUCUCUCCACGAAUUCUAAAUCCAUGUAAAUUAUUACAUAACCCAACAAUACGCACUAAUAAACUUACAUGGUAAAAGUUGUAAUUUUUAAAUAUGAGAGGCGAAUGAUUCUUUUUACCACAUCAAAUAAAACACUCAAUCAACAAAUAUAAUGAUACCAAACAAAACCCAUGAUACCCAUGUCUCAUUACCGUAGGUGGACUGCAGAGAUGGCCUGACAACGACUCAGAAUGGGCUGACAGGAACUGAGUGGGUUGUGAAUCUGUAGCUGUAGAUCCUUGCCGACAAUGGAGAUCAACCUCCGCGUGUCGUCGCCGGAUAGCGCCGUCGUUGGUGGCCCUGAUGAGGCGUCUCGUGAGGGACUGGAGGCGAGAGAGUGAAUGAUGAGGGAGAGGGAGAGGGAGAGGGAGCCGUGAGCCGUGAGCCGUGAGUGAGGAGGGAGGGAAGAAGAAAUUGAUUUCCCGCCUGAGGUGAGAGCCUUUUGUUUUUUUUUUUUUCCCAACAAAUAUAUAUGCCUGGGUUUGAUGUGUAUUGAGGGGGUUUGGUGUGUGUUGAGACCGAUUCUGUAGGUUUCAAGUUUUUUAUAUUUUUUUAAUUAUUUAUUGUUUAAAUUCAUUUAUGGCCGUUGGAUUCAAUACAAUGAAUCCAGCGGCCAUAAAACCUGCGUGUAUCUGAUACGUGCAGGUAUUGUAGCAUCAGCCAUAAAAUAUAUCUUCUUUUUUUAAUUUUCUAAACCAAUUAUCGACAGUACUUUUUCGGACCAAGUAGCAUUCUGACCGACCCGGCAUCCAAAACCAAAAUCUUGACCAUGGGUUUCGUUAUCCAAAACCAAAGAAACACAAAUAGAGUGACAAUUUGAACCGCCAAACUCUUCUACUCUGGUCUAAAUCUCCAUGCAAAUACACACACGCACACACAGGUACUCUCAUCUCUGUCUAACUAUUAUCUUUACUCUCUUGUUGCCGCAUGAGUCUCCAUGAGAAUUGAAAAAUCCAAAAACCAUUGACAAUGGCAUUAAUUUCAUCAACAGACUUUGUUCCUCGUAACCUCGUCAUAUUUACUAGUCAGCAUCAGCAACUGAAACCCACUACUUCACAUUCAGUUCAAAGUACGGUAGUAAGUUGCAUAAACCCUAAGUCUAACGAAAGGGUCAGGGUUUCAUCGUCAGCUGAAACAAGGCCCAACACCCAUUUGUUAUCUUUUGAUGUCAAAGAGACCCAGUUCAUGAAACUUAUUAAAAGGUCAUUCAGGGCAGGGAAGUUUGAUGAGUCACUUUAUUUUAUUGAGUCUAUGGUCGCCAAUGGCUGCAAGCCUGAUGUUGUUAUGUGUACAAAGCUCAUUAAGAAGUUCUUUCAAGAAAGAAAGAGUAAUAAAGCCGUGAGGGUCAUGGAAAUUUUGGAGAAAUAUGGGGAGCCUGACGUGUUUGCUUAUAAUGCUUUGAUUAGUGGGUUUUGUAAGGCUAAUCAGAUUGAACUUGCUAAUAAAGUGCUUGAUAGGUUGAGAAGUAGAGGCUUUUCACCAGAUGUUGUUACAUAUAAUAUUAUGAUUGGAAGUCUUUGCAGUAGGGGAAUGAUUGAGUCGGCUUUCAAGGUUUUUGAUCAAUUACUGAGAGAUAAUUGCAAGCCAACUGUGAUUACCUACACGAUCUUGAUACAAGCUACCAUGCUUGAAGGUCAGACUGAUAAAGCUAUGAAGCUCUUGGAUGAGAUGUUAGCGAGAGGGCUUAUACCAGACAUGUUUACUAACAAUGCCAUUAUUAGGGGAAUGUGCAAGAAGGGAAUGGUGGGUCAAGCUUUUCAGUUUGUUAGAAGCCUAGAAUCUAGAGGUUGUCAGCCAGAUGUGAUAUCUUAUAAUAUGUUGUUACGAACACUUUUGAAUAUGGGGAAAUGGGAGGAAGGAGAAAAGCUAAUGACUGAGAUGAUUUCUCGAGGUCUUGAGCCUAAUAUUGUUACUUAUAGCAUUUUGAUUAGUUCACUCUGCCGUGAUGGCAAAACUGAGGAUGCUGUGGAUGUACUUAGGGCUGCAAAGGAAAAGGGAUUAACACCGGAUGCUUAUAGUUAUGAUCCAUUAAUUUCAGCAUAUUGCAAAGACGGGAGAUUGGAUUUGGCAAUUGAAUUCUUGGAUUAUAUGAUCUCUGAUGGUUGCUUGCCAGAUAUAGUAAACUACAACACAAUUCUGGCCGCUUUCUGUAAAAAUGGAAAUGCUGAUCAGGCCUUAGAAAUAUUUGAGAAGUUGAGUGAUGUGGGUUGUCCUCCCAAUGUGAGUUCUUACAACACAAUGUUCAGUGCACUAUGGAGUUCUGGGGAUAAGAUUAGGGCUUUGGGCAUGAUAUCAGAGAUGUUAAGCAAAGGGAUCGAACCUGAUGAGAUUACAUACAAUUCACUAAUAUCGUGUUUAUGCAGAGAUGGAAUGGUAGAUGAAGCUGUUGGGUUGUUGGUAGACAUGGAAAGCACUAGGUUCCGGCCGACAGUUGUAAGUUACAAUAUAAUUAUUCUAGGAUUUUGCAAAACACGGAGAAUCAAUGAAGCCAUUGAAGUAUUAGCAGCAAUGUUUGAGAAAGGAUGCAAGCCAAAUGAAACGACCUAUGUAUUGUUAAUUGAAGGGAUUGGUUAUGGAGGAUGGCGAGCUGAAGCCAUGGAGUUGGCUAAUGCCCUUGUUAGUAUGCAUGCUAUAUCUAGAGAUACUUUUAAACGGUUGAACAGGACCUUUCCUUUACUUGAUGUAUACAAGGAAAUCUCUCAUUUAGCUACCAAGGACUAACUUCUUUUGAUCUAUCUUCUGCUGGAAUUGGUUGCUCUUGACUGUUUUGUGUUCAAGUUUCUACACUCCGUGCUUGAAAUUCAAGCCAAAAAAUGUAUUGAUGAGGAAGAAAGAAAGAAGGGAAUGAAAGUUUUAUCGAUCAAUAUAGGAUCUUAGUCUGUCUUUAGUCCACAACAAUGCAGUCCAAGUUUAUUUUGUAGUAUUACACGAAGGCUGAAUGAUGAGUUUCAGUUAAAUUACAAUGAACUGUAAGCGACUUAAUGAAAGCAUAUAAUGGCUCAGAGAGUUGGAAAUAGGAAAUAACACGUGUGCCGGAAGAGGCUGAUCUUAUUUUGAAUUUAUCCUUUGGCAGAUAACAUCGAUUUCUGACAACAUUGAGAGCCGAAGAUCAUUUGCUUUGCAGAACUUUACAUCACAAGAGCAAUAUUGUAUGUUUUAGUUUGUUUGGCUGAAACAAUGUAUGUAUCGGGCUUCUACAUUUGCUUUGAAUGAAAUUUGUUCUGGAGUGAUACUACAAAGCAUGCAAAAACUGAGAAAUUGAAAAUUCGGUAAAAGCUGGAAGAGUUUAUGAUUCUUGCCUCUGUUUUAACUUCAUUUUUUGGCACUUAACCAUUUCAUGAAUUCAAUUGUUCAAAAAUGAUUUAUUGAGAACCUUUCUUCCAGUAAAAUUUUUCAAAUAGGAUUGAAGUACAUACAAAAAAGGCUUGUAUUUAGUAAAACAUGUGUCAAUAUAGCUGUCUAUAUAUACAUAAUUCUCCUUUACUGCAUAGUUUGAUUCUGGACAGUGCAUUUCGUGCUCUAUCAAAAUUUUGAUUUUCUCUUCAUUCUAAAUAGUAGUAUAACAAUUUUCGGAUAAUUUUCUGUAAAGAGGCUACAUACACAGAAAAGAUAACCCAUAAACUAACUGGGAAAAGAUUUAUGUUCGGGGUUUUACACACUCAUAAUUGCUGUGGCAGGUUUGCAACCUGAUAUCAAGAUAGGAUAAAAGAACCAAUUAAGAACAAGCUGUAACAGCAUGACUUUGAACCACGGGAUAGAAAUUAUCACCCUUCUGACAAUAGACGGACGACGAAAUUGCAAAUGAAAAACAUGGUUCAGCCUAUAAAAGAAAGAACAUAAUCUACAACACGUAUAAAAAUUUGAGAUCUGCAAAAACAAACAGCGACAAGUUGACAGUGCACAACGGCAAGACUGCACAACUCUAUUAUGCUACCCUUGUGGCUUCCAAGCAAUAAUGUGUCAAUAUAUCCCAAGAAAUUUCCCUGGCAUAAGACAACAUAUUCAGAAAGACGAGGCAAAUGCUUACUGUCUACUGGAAUGAGAUGCUUUGCAUUGCUUGUGGGUAAAACCAGCUAACAUGGUCUUACAGAUUAUAAAAAUGAUAAGCUGGUAGGAAUUAUGGGAUUAUCUAAAUUUGGUGAUAGAACAACUGUGAAUACAAAUAGAAGAACAGACAGGUCAGGAGAAAAGACCUUACAGAAAUGUAUUUUCUGCACGUCUUUCAGCUAAAACUUAGUCUAACUCCAAAAAGGCAGUGAAUAAGGUCAAGUCUGCAUAAACACCAUUUCAAGCCAACAAGGUUGUCCCUUUUUCAAAAACUUUCCAUUCUAUCAACUUUUGCCACAGCUUGUAAGCUUCUUCUGUCAUUCCAUCAUCAGCUACCUUUUUCACUAUAGUGGAAAACACAGUGUCAUCUGGCUUGUAUCGGCUUGAAAUCAUCAAUUCUAGAACUUGUAUUGCCAUAUCCACCUUCUUACUUUUACACAGUCCAUGAAUGACCAAUCUAUAAGCACUAUUUCUCAUUUUGUUUCCUCUUUUACCAAUUUCCUUCAAUAAAUCCACUGCUUCCUCAACUUGAUCUGCCCGGCAAAAUCCCCAAAUCAAAGUGCGAUGAGUAAUAUCAUCAGGAGAAAUCCCAUUUUCCAUCAUUUGACCAUACAAUACCAUAGCUUUCUCCAUACAACCCUUUUUGGCCAACCCAUCUAUCAAAGUAUUAUAAGUGAUCAAACAAGGGGAACAACUACUUCCGUUCAGUAAGUGAAGUAAUUGAAGCGCCUCAUCCAACAUUCCCUCUUUACAGAGAGCACCUAAUACAGUAUUAUAAGUUACAAUGUCAGGCUGACAAUUUUUCGAAACCAUUUGAUUAAAAGAGUUGAUGGCACGAUCCACAAGUCCAUAUUUACACAGACCAUUGAUCAAAAUAUUAUAGGUAAACACUGUUGGGCUAUGAGAAGCUUCAUUCAUGAUAUCAAGGAUCUUAUCUACUGCAUCCCAACAUCCACGGCUACCGAGAGAAUGGAGAAGUGUGUUGUAAGUUAUGGAAUUUGGCUCCAUUCCACGAGAUAAUAAAUUAUUUAUGACCAAAACUGCAUCAUCAUAUUUCCCUUGCUUACAACUAAAAUUAACCAGCGAAUUGUAGGUAACAAUAUCAGGACUACAACCCUCAAUUGCCAUAUCAUCUAGUACUUCAAUAGCACGGGCAAUACCACAUUGCUUGCAGACUUGCUCGAUAAGAAUAGUGUAGGUAAUCAGAUAAGGUGGGCAACCCUUUCUCAAUUGGUCCUUCCAAAAUCCAAUAGCCUGCUUAAAUUUGCCAUUGUCAAACAUGGUUCGGAGAAUUGUGUUAUACGUAAUUACAUCAGGUUCACAACCACUGAGGCUCAUUUCAUCCAAAAGAGCAAUGGCCGAUCUAAUCUGUCCUCUCUUGCAGAGACCGCCAACCAUCAUGUUGUACGUAAUUGUAUCUGGAGCCCCACCGGACAUGACCAUGAUUUGAAGGACUUUGGAAGCUUUCUCUAUCCUAUCUAUUCUGAUAAGGCCUCGGAUUAAGUUUAUGCAAAAAUGGAAGUCAGGAAUUUGAUUACGACGAGCCAUUAUAUCAAUCAACUUUGAUGCAUCAGUUAACUUCCCCCUGGAGCAGAAAUUUUGGAGGAUUUUAUUGUUAGUCUUCUCAUCGUUUUCAACAAAGGGUCCAUCUGAAGAUGGAAGUGAAGGAUUAUGAGAUUUUUUGGUAAUUGUCAGCCCUCUCAAUUUUUUAUUAACAGCCAAUACAUGACUUUCUGAGCUCCAUUCAUCUUGGUCAACUUCAUUGACUCUGUCAAUGCAAACAUUUCCAGGCAGCCCUCUGCACUUUAAGGACACAUUUCUUCCUGCACCAAGAUCUCUCAGUUGGGAAUAAAAUUGAGUUCUGUGAUUAUUCACAACUCCAUGUUGCAGGCUGACUUGUCUUGAACACCACUGCAGAUUAGGCAAACAAUGAAGUUCAAUUAUAGAAUUCGGCGGAACAACUGUGUAGCCCAUCUCCGGACUUGCCUUUCAAUCUGAUCUCACAAUCACAGCUAUAAUUUUUGUUGGAAAUAAAAAGGACUAGUGCUUAUGUUUUCAUUUCCUUGUAACACCCAAAAUAUUAUGCAAUAGCUCUUCAGCUUUCUCUACUUUUUUGAUUGACAACAAGAGGUACACCUGCGAAAGUUCAAACUGCCAAAAUCAAACCCCGGAUAUUUCAGUAAUAGGUCGUAAUGAAACAACAUCAUGAUACACAGCUACAAGAACCAGGAUGAUCAAAAUACCUAUGAAAGAAAACAAAUUGCAGUCAAUUAUUAAAGGAAAAAUCAUAUAUGAACAAGUAAAAUCACUCAGAUAAAUUAUAAUGAUCAAUUUGUAACAUAUUCAAACUACAUAUCCACUCCCAAAAUGCAACAAAUUUAAAUUCCCUGCUCAAGAAAAUAAAAAACACAACCUUAUCCAAUUCAUAUUUAACCUGAAUGAAUUAACAUAAUUUGUCACCAAAACAUCAAAAUUCAAGAACCCCAUUUUGAAUAACCAUAGGAAUUCAAAGGCUAUCGAUUCUGCAUGCAUAAACAUUUCUGCCAGAACUUAAAAUGACUGAAUGAAAAUAGAAAAAUAAAAUGCAACCCCCAAUGAAUUAUCAAAUAAUGAAAAUAAAGCGUUAACGGUAAAUAAGAUUACCGAAUCAUAAAGCACAGCUAGUUGGGUUGGCAUUAAAUUUGUUCCAUCACUCAAAAGCAGUUUAUUUCUUCUUGUUCAACUGCUGGGUUUAUAUGUGACGUCAAAACCUAGGGUUCACAGGAGUCGGCAACUAUAAAAUUACAAUUGAUCCCUUAUUAAAAUACAAUUUACAUUCUAACCAAUUAGUUUUGUUAUCCAUGCAUUUAAGUCCUUUCUUGUUAAGAACUACGAAACGACAUCACUAAAACCUUCGUCUCCUUCACUACUGUCAACAACCUCGUUUCUCUAUUUAAUCACACCAGGUACUUUCUGCUUUCUGCGAUUCGUUCCCUCGAUGAAAUCUAAUCAAAUGGCAAAAUCGUAAUUUACUGCUUAUUAAUUUUAACUUAAUUUAAUAACUGCUUCAACAAUAACACACCAUUUCUUAAUUUCUUAAGUCAUUUUUUCAUCUCUGGCUACGUAGAAUCAACUGACCGAAAGUAAUGAUAAAGAUGCAAGAAUAUUCAAACGGAGGAGGAGGAGAUGAUGGUGGUGGCGGCGGCGGGCCCGCCGACUUGGCCAAGCUUCAGUCUAUUAUGCACUCCAUCGAGAUCGCUUGCUCUUCUAUUCAAGUAUUUUUUUCUAACUUUUUAUUUUAUUUUCUUUUCUCUGUUUGGUUCUGAUAAAGUACAAGAAAAUUUCAAAUCGCACGUUCUGUGUUUCCUAGGAAAUGAAAGAGAAAACUAUUGUCUACCGUGACUAAUUUCUUUUCUCUUUACUAUUUAAGCUGAUUACUUGAUCAAUGGUAAAUUCCAAUUAUUAGGUUAUGUUCAGUUGCUUGGAAGAUAGAGAAAAUGUCAGUGAAGGGGGAAAAAAAAAAAAAAAAGGUCAACUUUGAAUGAAGUUUUGUCCCUAUUGUUGUUAUUUAGUUUAAAGCCUAUGACUUGUAGUGGUUUUAAAAUUGAUUUUUGUAUUGAUUAAAUAUCUAAAUGAACUAAUUCGAUUGCGUUUUGGUACUGCAAAAAUAAGGAAAAUCGAAUUGACUAUGGAUGAAUUUUAUUGCAUUUUUCCUUUGUAUGAGUUUGUUGUAAUAUUAGGUUUCUAAUGCAUAUGUUCAUGUUUACAUAUUUAUGGAGGUUUGUGUUUUUUGACACGAAUGAAACUUUCCAUAUGUAAGUAUGCUCUUGUGGACACCAGGCAGGCAUUUUUACUGGUGGUGGUUUUCAUUAUGGCAGAUGCAUGUUAAUCCAGCGGCAGCGGAGGCAACUAUUUUGGGGCUAUGUCAGUCCCCUCAGCCGUACAAGGCAUGCCAGUUUAUCCUUGGUAAGUAAAUCAGGUGUUAAAAAUUUCAACAUAAACUUAACGGAUGGAAGAGCAGUUAUGACCAACUUUUAAGACUGAGUAAAUAUUAGAAUGCAUUGGUAAGGCUUUUGGACACAAAGGAGGAAUCUUUUUACUAAUAUUAUGAAUUUAUAUUGCCUCUCCUGUUUCCCAUAGAAGAAAAUUUUCAAGUUAUUUUGUGCUCUGGACCUUUGAUUUCUAUAAUGCUCUUGGCUUACAGAUGUCUGAAUAGUACUUUUAUUAAUAGUUUUGGUGUAUGCACAUGCCCUUGAAGAUGAAUGAUCCUGCCUUUCUCAAUUUAAUACAUUUGUUUAUUUUAUUUUAUUUUAUUUUUUUAUUUUUCCCUGCUUCAGAGAAUUCACAGGUAGCAAAUGCAAGGUUUCAGGCUGCUGCAGCAAUUCGAGAUGCAGCUAUGCGAGAGUGGUCUUUCCUGACAGCUGAUGAAAAGAAAAGCUUGAUUGGGUAAGUUUUUACCUUGGAUAUUAUAUGCAGCUAUAAGUAUACAACUGUCAUACAUUGAUCUUUCUUCUUUGAGCCUUCUAUUCCUGUUAUCUUAUGUCUUACAUGAAACUGUGAAAGUCUCUUCCUUAUUAAUUUAAUUAUAGUAUCAUCCACUCUUUGGUUUUAUUUGAUGAGUCUGUGACUAAACAUAUCUUUUUUGCAGUUUUUGUCUGUGCUUUGUUAUGCAACAUGCUAGUUCACCUGAAGGCUAUGUCCAAGCCAAGAUAUCUUCCGUGGCAGCGCAGUUGAUGAAAAGGGGAUGGUAAGUUGCAUUUAACUUUAUUGUGGUAAUGAUGGUAAUAAUAUGCCAUGUUAUGUUAUUAAUUAUCCAGAAAAAGUGAAACAAGUUAUUGCUAUGUUAUGUUACAUGGACAGAGAUCAUAUCUAUCAUGGAAUCUAAAAUUAAUUUGGCAUGAAAAGAAUUAUAUUUAUAGAAAAGAACGAGAUUGGAACUUUUUGCAUAAUGGAGCAGUAUAAAAACUUUGAAUUGGUCUAAAACUUGAGUAUGGACCUAGUUUCAUCAUCUUCUUUGUUGUGUUAACAGACCCAGGUAGAUUGGGACAUGAUUGGUGUUAAUGAAGAAAUUAAACGAAGUAAGAAACUCAUGUUUUUGAUAAAUAGAGGAUUAGGAUUGCUGUCCCUCACCCUUUUUUUGUUUAAAUUCCCACUCAGACGCCAUGACCUGCCUCAAAGGAUUCACAUUGCAGAUGCGUAAUCUGCAUCAGCCAAUGAGUUCCUUACCGCUGUGAACUGCAUAUAUUCAGCUGUGUUUGGAAUGUAAAUAAUUCUUAGCAUACAUCGUAUAAAAUUACAGUUAUCUCCAGUCCUAUGGCAUGUAGAGAUACCUGUUCUCAUCAUCAUCCUAAAUGAAUGUCCGCAUGCUUACCCUGUUAUGGAUGGGCCCAAGCAGCCCCCCAGCUGUAGCUCCAGAAGUUUUUUUUCUUUUCUUUUUUUUUUCAUAUUGAAAAUCUUGCUGCAGUGGAAUGAAAACUUUCAUGAAGAAAUUAUCAACUCAAGUAUCUGUUGUGGAGAAUGCAUAAAAGUGAAUGCGAAGUAGAUCCUAAAUAACUGCAGAGCUUUAUGUCCAUGCCUCUCUUUGACUAAUUAGCAUAGUCUUGUGCCAUUAUGGUUUUAUUUUUUGUGUGUGGAUCAUAAGCAAUUCUAUGAGACAUCUUCUAUUCUUGAAUUCCCAUGAUAGCAAUAUGUAAUGCGAUGUUAUGCCUUAAAUAACAUAUGUGACAAUAUAUUUAUCAAUCCAUAUUGUCAAAUUGCAUUACAUUAAGAUUUCGCUAGUAUUUAUUCAUAAUUUCUAGUGUUCUAAGUUACCUCAUGAAAGAAAUUGAAACUUUAUGGUAACUUCAGCAAGUUUUUUCAUCUGUAGGCUUGAUUUUACUUCAUCUGAUAAGGAAGCAUUCUUCAGUCAGGUACUGCAAUUACUUUCACUGUUGUCCUCACUAAUUUAUUGGAACCAUUUAUCACUGUGUGAUAUUUUUCCCUAAUAAAUAUUUUUUUUUUGGUUUUAUGUGUUAGUAAUUUUUUCUAGUCCAUAUACUAGAUUUUUUGUGGCUGUAAUUAUGCUGGCUUCUUUACCUUCGGUUGUCAUUGUGGCAGUAACUUCACAUCUAUAGAUUCAUGAAUUAAUACAAUACCUGCGAUCACUUAAUCCAUUAUGUAAACUAUGAUCCAUCUUACUUGUUAGGCUGCCAAUUUCUGCCUGCACUGUGUAAGACUGCAAUAAGUUGUGCUUUAUAAUUUAACAAGCUAAGGAAGAUUAAUCAUAAAGGGAAGCUUGACUAGUAAGAUGUUUAUGCUGGGAAAUCUAUUAUGGCCAGGGAAACUAAGUAAAGUUGUAUUCUCGUAACUGUUUCCAUUGAUAUUUAUACAAUUGUAUAGCUACUUUUUUAAGCUUAAAUGACUUGUUGUAAAUCUGGAUUUUAUUAACUAGGUAUUAUUGGAUUAGUAAACAUCUGGUUCAGAUGUGCACUAACAAUUGUGCAUAAGAAGCACCUGUGUAAUUCUUCCCCAACAAAAGUGCACCCUGACUUUCAUAUGCUUGUAUUAUCACUGUCUUUGAUUCUCACUCUUGAAAUCACUUCGUGAGGGUGGGAUUCUGGUGCUUUCCUGAUCCUUUCAUCUUGCAUAAGUUUCUUACCAAGCUGCCUUUUAAACUUUAUUUACACUCAUUGGGCGCCAUUUACUGCACCAAAUGUCCUUCCCAAUAAUAGUCUUGGUAAAGUCUUUCAUGGUAAAGUUUCUUUGUUUCCUGUCAAAAUAAAUAAAUAAAUAAAUAAUUAUCUACCUCCACAUUAUUGGAGGCUCACUAUUUAUGUGAUUUCUUUCCCUUAUUUACCUUAGAGAAGUGCCUCUAUAGCUUUUCUAAACCAUGGCAAACAAAUAGGAAGUCAGAAGAGGGACUGAGAAUGAGUGAAAGUGAUGUAGGACAUUUUAGGAGAUUUUAUACUUUUAUUAUUUUUUGUUUUAAUUAGUUCUAUUUAGGUAUGCGUAUAGGUUUUUCUAUUUCAAGUUUAAUUGUGAUUUAGUUUCCUGAUUUGAGCUAACUUGGGGAAGUAGGUUUGUCCUAUUAUAAAUAGAGAAGUCUUAUCAUUGUUUUAGUCGAAGGUUUUGAUUAAUAAAAACCCCAUUUUUUUUUUUUUAUUCCUUUUGGGAUUAUCUAUCAAAAUCUCUCUUAUAAAGUCAUUUGGAUUAGAGUGUCAUCUAAUCUAGCUAUUAAGUGUUCAUAUCAAAAUCUCCUUCACAAUGUUGAAUCAUUUACAUUGGAGACUCGCUUCAAUUAGAGUGUAAUCCAAUCGGGUCAUUUACCCUAUCAAUUUGCUUUCGCUACCCCGUUGCAUCAGAAAGCUAGAUAAUGCAUGCUAACCAAGAUCACUAGCAUCUAUAGAACUCCCUUUUCAGGGAAUCUCCUUCCCUCUACCAAAUACAUUGGUAGUGAAGGGCUAGCAAUGGAUCUGAACCACAUCUUCUCCAGGAGAAAUAUUCAUUCAUGUGAAUGAUGAACUCUUGGUUGCUAUCUUUUUCAAUUUUCAAGCCAUAACAUAAUUUUCUUGUAAUGGUUUCUUAAUGUGGCUAUCCCAUAAGGUAGCAGAGCUGCUGUCAUCAAAACAAAAAGGAGGAUGCCAGAUUUCUUGCCUCUGAUUUUUUAGAGCUUCUAAAGAAACCUUAGAGUGAACUGCUGAACAAAAUUGAGAAACGAUUAACGAACUACUUUGAAAAUUCAUUGCCAGCUAUGUGAAAAUCCCACCAGUCCAAUGUAAGAUGUUAUACCAUCUCCAUUUUAGGUAGUAUCAUUUUAGGCUCAAAAACACUUCAGCCUUGAUGCCAGUUAAGGGGAAGCUUUUCUUUUCUAUCUUUGGUAAAUUAAAGUGUGUUGGAAAUUUAUAUGUUUUCAUCAUUGUCACUUUCUUGGUACCUAAGCUGUUGUAUCAUGUGUGAAGAUGUUUAGAGUUUUUCUGGUGUUGAAAUCGUGUUCUAGUCUAGCCCACUUUUUAUUCUCUCACAAAAGGAAAUCCUAUUGCUACAGGUACACCAGGCUGUCCUUGGGAUUCAUGGAGUAGACACGCAGUUCAUUGGAAUCAAUUUCCUUGAGUCAUUGGUAUAUGUUGCUUCAAUUCUUGUUCUUAACUGUUCAUCGCUUGGUCUUUUUAUUUGCCUCCUGAUUUAGAGCGUUGAUUCUUCUUUGCAGGUAUCUGAAUUUUCUCCUUCUACUUCAAGUGCAAUGGGCCUUCCUAGGGAGUUCCAUGAACAGUGCCGUAUAUCUUUAGAGCUAGAUUAUCUGAAGGUUUUCCCCAGGCUCUUGGCGUUGUACUAGUUAUAUAGUUAUAUGAAGAGCUAUACCUUGAGGAUAAGGGAAUAUUUUUAAUGGGCUUCCUCUAGCCAUAAUGUUUAAUAUACUGACCUUUGUCCUUUUUUUCCUUUAUUUUAAUAUUUUGAAUUAUAGACAUUUUAUUGUUGGGCAAGAGAUGCUGCUUUAAGUGUUACAAAACAAAUAAUUGAAUCUGAUGCCGCUGCAUCUGAGGUUAAAGCUUGUACUGCUGCCCUGCGUCUGUUGCAUCAAAUCCUGAACUGGGAUUUUCAGUUUGACACCAGUGGCAGAAAAAUUAGUAUAAAUGUUUUUUCAGCUGGGGUUAGAACUGAGAGUUCUUCAUCUAAGAGGUCUGAGUGUAUCAUAGUUCAGGUAAAGAACUUUCUCCAAUAAAAUAUCUGAUUAGUGCUGUGAUCAUGUUUACUGGUUGUAUAUGACAGUUAAAAUAAUCUGUUCAUGCUUGCAACUUUCUCUGCAAUUUUUUUUAAGGGAAGAAAACUUGAACUGAUGAUUUUGAGUCUUUUCUUGUGUUGCUAGGAUAUGGAAUAGUUAGAAUAUUGGCAUUUUCAUAUUCUGAUUUAUAUUCAUGUUGUUUGUAGCCUGGUCCUGCAUGGUGCGAUGCUUUAAUUUCAAGUGGUCAUAUUGUUUGGCUCUUGAACUUAUAUUCGGCCCUGAGACAGAAGUUUUCAAGUGAAGGGUACUGGCUUGAUUGCCCUAUUGCAGUCUCUGCUAGAAAGCUUAUUGUGCAACUCUGCUCCUUGACGGGAACUGUAUUUCCUUCUGGUAUGUCUUUUUCUAAUUAUAACUACUUGAUCACAAAAUGGUUUUAUCUGGUCCGUGUUUCGGUUUGCUGUUGCAAUUCUUUGCAAGCUUUACUGCAACACAAGAAAACACUCUGUCUCACAGUCCUAUUGGUACUUUCUUUGCAAGCUUUAAUGUUGUCUAUGUGAUAAACUUUGGAGAAUCGUGAAUACUUGGUAACAUCGGCAUCUGUGCCUCAGUUACUGUUCAUGACAAAGACUUACCGUUUAAGUACACUUGACUGUAUGGAAAUAUUACAAGAAUGUCUUUUAUUUGCAAUAUAUCUGUUGCCUUUUGCUGCAAUAUGAAUGGGUUGAUUUUAGUUCCAAAGCUAACAGUUGGACUUAAAUGAAACCAAGAAACCGAUUGUCUUCUUCAGUUAGUAGCACAUUAUAUGGUAAAAACAUGAAUUAUGAGAUAAACAAUUUUUGCUCUUUUGACUCAUAAAUUUUCCCUAUAGAAAUUUUAAUUCCAAGGUUUUAGCUUUGAUUAGUUUGUUUGAAUGAUCACUAGUGAUAUUCAAUAUUUAAUAUAGUUUCAAUUGGAUACUGCUACAAAUUUAAGGUUAAUUUGACUUGGUGAAAAGCUAAAUCCUAAUGGUUCUUUCAUCUUGAUGAUUUCUGAAAAAUUAAGAGGCUUUUUGGAAAGAUUGAGUCAGGGAGAUUCUAACCUGGGACUUUGAGAGAUUUUUAAAUGAUGUACCACUGUCUCAAGUUUUAUGGAUGUAAUAAGACAAAAGGAGUAGAGAAGUCGAAUAAGCUGUGCGCCCCCCCCCCCCCCCCCCGGGCCCUGAAAAAAAAAAAGAAAAGCUUAUUUGGCAUAAAAUUUAUGGUUGUUUUAAUAAGUGUACAAGCUCUCUUUCAGAUUAGUUUUUACAGUAUCUGACAGUUUUUCUUAUCUGAUAUUUUUAGCACUAAUAUGAAGGGCUGAGAUGACGCCAGUGAAUGUCGUUUCAUUUCACUGUUUAAAAUGUUUAUUUAAAUUUUUUAUUUUUGCGGGGUCUGAUUAUGAAAGUUAUCUAUUUUUGCAAUUUCCUUUUUCAAUUAUCUAGAUAAUGGGAAAAUGCAAGAGCAUCAUUUGCUACAGCUCCUGUCUGGGAUAUUAGAAUGGGUUGAUCCUCCUGAUGUUGUGGCACAAGCAAUUGAAUCAGGAAAAAGUGAAAGGUCAAUUCUAGUUUACUUUGUUUUCUAUUUCUUCAUUGUUCCUUCCUCUUUUUAAUUUCUUUCGAAAUGGAGUCUCACAGCUAUUCUGAUUUUUCCAAUUUCAACAGUGAGAUGCUAGAUGGUUGCCGUGCACUAUUAUCCGUUGCAACUGUGACAACUCCCUUUGUGUUUGACCGACUCUUAAAAUCCAUAAGGUCAAUAGUAGAGCAUUACGACAUUGCAGAUAUUCCUCUUUCUUCAUCAGUUAUUAGACUUUAUAGUUUCUUAUAAAAUAAAACAUAACAGAGCAUUUAUUUUAGGCCUUGUUAUUUAUUAUACAAGGUCUGUUGCUAUAUUAUGUAACAAUAAGAAUAUAAACUCUACCUAUACAAACUUAUAUGGUCCUGUUAUAUCAUCACCACAUGUUUCAUAUUAAUUAGCUCUUUUAUUCUUUUGAAAAUAUGGGAGUGGGUCAUGUGAAAUGUAUGAUGCAACAUCAGUUUGAAUUUAUAGAGUUUGUAUCUCUAGUACAACUCCUGUAAUUUAAUAAUUAGUCUAGUUUUUGUUGUAAUGUUCAGGCCCUUUGGCACUCUUACCCUGUUAUCCAACUUGAUGUGUGAAGUUGUUAAAGUCCUUAUGAUGAAUAACACUGAAGAGGGGACAUGGAGCUGGGAGGCUCGAGAUAUCUUACUAGAUACUUGGACCACCCUACUGGUUGUAUGUAAUUUUAUUCCCCUUGAAUAUUUGUUUAUUAUUUUUAUCUUUUUACCUUAUGCAUGCAGCAAAACAACUUUUUUUUUUCCAAUCCUCUUUCAAUUUAUUUGUCAAUACCCUUUUUAAAGAUUAUUGCUGCUGUGAUUCAGCUUAAAUCUAGGAAAUUAUGGUGGCAUUUGAUUCACAAAAAGUAGUCAUUGCCUUUUAUGAAAUUUGAAAAAAAAGAAUUGUUCCUUAAAUAAAUUAAAUGCAUCAGAGAAUGUUGAUCAUUUGUUUCUACACUGCACUGCUGCUUACUUUUUGUGGUCUAAGCUGUUUAAGACCUUUAAUUUGAGCUGGUCAGCUCCUGCCUCAUGUUACUCCAUCCUAUUGGAAAGAUUUUCUUGCUUAAAAGGGAGAGGAAAAACAAAGGUUCUAUGGUACUGUGCAGUCUAGGCUAUUUUUUGGGUCGUGUGGAAUGAAAGAAACCAAAGGAUCUAAAGAUUUUCUUGCUUAAAAGGGAGAGGAAAAACAAAGGUUCUAUGGUACUGUGCAAUCUAGGCUAUUUUUUGGGUCGUGUGGAAUGAAAGAAACCAUAGGAUCUAAAGAUUUUCUUGCUUAAAAGGGAGGGGAAAUGCAAGGGUUCUAUGGUACUGUGCAGUCUAGGCUAUUUUUUGGGUCGUGUGGAAUAAAAGAAACCAAAGUAUCUUUGAUAACAAAGCUGGGAAAGAUUCUUCACACCUAUGGGAUGAAGUGAAGUUCUGGGCUUCCCUCUGGUCAUUUAUUACUGCUGAAUUCAAAGAUAUCUCUUUCUUUUUUAUUUUGCUUAACUGGGAAGCCUCUGUAUCGUGAGAGGCGACGUAUUCUUAGUGAGCUGUGUUGUUUUUGGGUUUUGGGCUAUUUUUAGUCUCUCUAGUUUUCUGAGUGUUUUGGUUAGAAUGUGACUUCACAUCCUUAUUUUUGUGGAUUUGUAGUCCCAGCAGUCCUUGGCAGAAAAGUCUUUCAUCGUUGAACAAGGCUAUGUGUCACUUCUUCCUUACUUUAUCAAGAAAGUCUUGACAUCACUCGUCUUUUGUGCUCGCACCUUCCUAGGCUAGCCUUAAGAUCUUCAAAAUUUGAAUAUAUCAUAUCAUGUUUCUUGUUUUCAGUUUUCAAAUUCAUUAAAAUGUUAUUGUGAAUAUAAGGGGCUUAACAUUCCAGUGAUGUUCAAAUUUCAGUUUACAUCUUGUUGUGUUAUAUUUUGAUCAAAAUGUGAUUCUUGUUCUCAAAAUGUGAAUUGUCCUUUCUUCUUGAGCUUGUUUAGUAACAGCCAACAAUUAUUGUUGCAAAUCUUCAGUCAUUAGAUAGUACGGGAAGGAACGUAGUGCUUCCACUGGAAGUACGAAAUGCUGCAGCCAGUCUUUUUGCCUUAAUUGUGGAGUCUGAGCUAAAGGGUAAUAUAAUGGUUGACAAACUAAGUUGUUUUUAAUUUGCUUUUUCUGUGAAAUGUUCUUUCUGUUUUCAAUAUUUACAAUAAUCAAUAUUUUCUCAUGUAGUGGCCUCUGCAUCAGCAAUGGAUGAUAACGGUGAAUUCAACUAUCUUCAAGCUUCCAUCUCUGGUAAACAAAAACUCAACAAGAAGUUGUAUUAUGAAGAUUGUUUUCCCUUUUUUAGUUUCACGUUGAUCAUUGUUAUUCCAUAUCUUCUUUUCGUGUUCUUGCAGCAAUGGAUGAAAGACUAAGUUCUUAUGCUCUCAUUGCAAGAGCAGCAAUUGAUGCCACAGUUCCUCUGCUCACCAGACUAUUUUCAGAACGCUUUGCACGGCUUCAUCAGGUGCUCCUAGUCUUUAAUAUUAAAGGAUAUAUUCGCUUAGCACUAAUUAUUUGGCUGAUUGGCUACUUGAUAUAGUGAGUUUAACUAGUGUGGUGCUAAUUAUUAUUUAUUUACCAAUGUGCUGGAUUAUUGCAAGAGAUCGUAUUUGACUUUAUAUUUUUGGGCGUGAACAUUAAUUUAUUAGAUAAGAUGCAAAACAAGAUUUAUUCCCUAGUAAACAUUUGACUUUUGUACUUUCCAAAUUCAAAGGUCAAAAAACAUUGUGCAAACCGAAGCAGCCACUACCAAUCUUUGGUUGUUAUCUCCAAUUUAGCUUGUUUACUAUUAAAGAAGAGUGUAAACUCAUCCUUUGUGGACGGAUUUAUUGAUAUAGGCACUUAUUUUGGAGAAUCUUUUGUAUUACUUGAGGUUUACACUAGAGAGGCUAAUUGAAAUGAUAAAUAAAUACAUUAAGUGUUUUGUUUGUGUUGUGGGGGUUGGUGGUGGGGGGGUUGGAAUUGCUAGAGUUUAUUGACUGUGAGUUCCAUUUAGAGUUGGUGUUGUUGGAUAGAUUUUGUUGCAAUUUUCCAAUUAUUAACAAUACAUUGUAGAGUUUAUUAAUGCCUACAAAUUCUAAUAUCUUUUAGGAGAAAAAAGUGGAUUGUAUUGAAGUGGGAUAAAGUUUGUGCUUUUUAGCUUCACUCUGGGCUUCAUUUCUAAGGAGUUCCAAGAUUCACCUUUUUUCUUCAUUUAUCUUAACUGGGAGGGGGUUCUAAGAUAGGUUUGUAAAGGAUGGUCUAGCUUUGUAGAGUGGUGAAUGGGUAUAAUUUUGUAUAGUACAGAAAAGUUUUAGUAUUCCCUCUUCUGAUUUUUGCUUUUUUGGUGGACAGCAGGUCCACUUCAGUGUACUGAUUCUUCAUCAUUAAUAAGAAAUUCAGUUUCCUAUGAAAAAUGGGGAAAAAAAAAAGAAAAGAAAAAUCAUUCAUGUAAUCAUAUUAAUAUCAAAUGACAUUCCGGGUUUAAUCUAGCUACCACCUUUAAUGUUGAGAAAUAAAGAAUUAUGCUACGAAGACAAGGCAACUUAACAGAAUUUUCUUCACAAUUUGCUGAAGAUGUUUGUUUUUUCUAUUUCACUUGCUCAUUUCUAUAGUUAUAAAAUUUGUUUCUAGGGCAGGGGCAUGAUUGAUCCGACAGAGACUUUGGAGGAACUUUACUCAUUGUUACUGAUCACUGGACACGUACUUGCUGAUGAAGGGGAGGGAGAGAUCCCCGUGGUAAUUAGUUACUUUUUUCUGCUUAUUAUUAAGCUUCACUUUAUCAUAUGUACUCUUUGUUCAUGUUUUUCAUUAUAGAUGCGAAAUGCUCUGUCUUUCCUAUUUUGGUUGUUCUCUUUGAAUAGUUAUGUUACAUGGGUGGAAUAGUUCUUCAUGGGAGUUAACUUUAAAAAAAAUAUAUCUAUAUAUAAUUAAUUAAACACACAUGCACAGUACAUGAGACUCGAACACAAGAUCUAAGUCUUGGUAAGCCUGGCCACUAACCAGUGGAGCUAGGUCUUGGUCUCAAUUUAUUAACUUAUUAACUUUGGAUGUGAAAUAAAGUAAGAGCUGCCUUGUCAAAGUUAGUGAUGACCAUGAAUUCAAUGGUGGAGCUAAUUACACUUACCAUGAGACACCGAUAUAUAAAUGUUGAAUGAUGAAAGGGGAUUCUUCAUACUUGAUGACAUCUGGCUUUAAAUAAUAAACCUGCUUGUUCACUGGCAUAUGUUUCGUGGUGCAGUGUCAUGAAGUGUCCAGGCUACAUUAUGCAGGGAUUGCUAUGUUUCAGAGAAAGUUAAAUAAUCAGUGAAUUCAAAUUAUUUGCUACCACCAUGAUCAUCAUAGAAGGGCUUGCAAUUUCUUUUUCAUGUUUGCAUAUUUUAGUUGAUUGUUGGAACUUCACUAGUUGAAUGCACUUUUUAAUUUGAUGCGAUUGACUGUUAAUAGCUGUUAGAUUCUUGCACCACCUUCAGUUCUUUUUCUCUUUCUAUUUUCCAAGCAUGUUAGGGAUCAUUGGCAAAUGGCAAUGAUGUCUCGAGUUAGAUAGGUAUUUAGCCAGUUUCUUUGGAUGGCAUAUAUUUGAUGAUAUUAGGAACACUGGACUACCUAACAUCCUCUAGAACUCUACUCAUGAUUUACACCUCGUGAUAAAUAGGUUCCAAAUGCUAUACAAACUCAUUUUGUGGACACCAUAGAAGCUGCUAAGCAUCCAGUUAUCCUUCUCUCUGGGUAAGCUUCUUUCUUUCUCAUUUUCACUAAAUUAUGGCACUGUCAAACAAGGCCGGUUAUCAAGUUUGUUGGUUUCUUUUGUGCUAAGGUUGAAAGGUGCGACAAUUGACAAUUAGGUGUUGAUCAUUUUAUUUGAUGCAGCUCAAUUAUAAAAUUUGCCGAAUGGAGUUUAGAUCCAGAAGCUAGAGCGUCAGUUUUCAGUCCUCGACUCAUGGAGGUGCCCCAUUGUUUCUUAUUGUGAAUUUAUUAAAAAAAAAACUUAAAUCACUAUGGGCGAAUUUUUGCUUGUUUACCAUUCAUAUUGCUUUUAUGCGAAUGAUUAAAAGGUGAUACCUCGGUCACAUUACAAGCAUUAUUAUCCUACUUUCAAUCAAACUAUGCAGAAGUUUCGCCAUCUUUAUUUUCAUUAUUGGAAUAUAACGUGGAACGAUUAAAUCUUGGUCACAUUGCAAGCAUCAAUUAUCCUACUUUCAAUCAAACUAUGCAGAAGUUUCGCCAUUUUUAUUUUCAUUAUUGGAAUAUUUGAAAACGUGGAAUGAUUUCCUAUCUUAUAGAAUCACUCAUCAUGGUUUUUAUUUCGGAUCAAUUUUGUUUGUAGAAUCACUCAUAAUGGUGUUUACUUUGGAUCAAUUUUGUUCAAGUCCAGUUGCCAAAGCUGGCAUUUUUGAAGUGGCUGGUUUCAUUUUGUGCAUUGAUUGGCUACAGUAGAUCAUAUGUGUCAUUGUAACUAUGGAAAGGAGAAUAUUCUAUUGGGGUGGGUUGCGGUGUUUAUGUUUUUGGUUUCUCCUGAUUUAGUAGAUUUUUUCUUACUCUUCUGCUCAACAACCGGCCAUGUUUUUAUGGCUUUUAGAGGAUGAUAUGAUGGGGUACUGCUUUCUAAUUUUUCUGUUAAAACAAUAUACAGUCAUGCUAUAUUGGCUUACUUAAUUGGAACUGAUGCUGGUUGCAGGCUAUUGUAUGGUUCCUUGCAAGAUGGUCCCAGACAUAUCUAAUGCCUCUCAAAGAAUUUAGAGACAGUUCCACCAAUUUAUGCCAUGAUACUGGGUAUCAGCAUCAGUCAUCCACCUCCAGAAAAGCUUUGCUCAGUUUUUUUGGGGAACAUAACCAGGGAAAACCUGUGCUUGACAUUAUUGUUCGCAUUUCUAUGACAACACUUGUUUCAUAUCCUGGGGAGAAAGAUUUGCAGGUUAGAGCAUAGAAACCUUCUUUUUUUCCCUCCUUGUAAGUUUGACAUUUAUCAGACAGUAUUCAAGUUUAUCUAUUCAUCAUUCUGUCUGAAUUUUAAAAUUCACCAUGUUGAAGCAAUCCUUUUGGUCAGUCAUAACUUCGUUAAAUUUCACUGGUUAUGCAGCUGUUUACUACCAUGUUUAAGGCGAGGUAGAAAAUUGCAUUAAAGAAUUAAACCGUGACAUCAUUUUAGUGCUUGGAAUUUUUUAUUUUUUUUAAGAUUCUGUGUUUAUUCCUCCUCUUUUUUCCCCCGUUGGCAGGAGCUCACUUGUAACCAGCUACUACAUGCACUGGUUCGACGAAAAAAUGUUUGUGUACACCUUGUUGCAUUGGUGAGUUCUAUACUGCAAUGCACCACACUUUAGUUUGUCAACCUUUGCGUCUUUGUUCCCUGGGGGUUCUCUUUGUUAUUAAACCAUCACAAAACUACUUUUAAGCUGACAAUGAGGAAUGCUCUGUAAACUGCGUCAGAUUAACAACCAUUUUGCAAGGGUUUCUUGAAUUCAUGCCGGAAAUAGUGCAAUAGAAUUUUAUGUAGCCAAUCCAAAAUAUUCUUAAUCAGAGAUUUCUGAGUAUUUUACACUUGAAAAAUAGGUUUGCACAGAAUUAAUUAUUCUGUCAUUGAGAUUGUUCUUUUAUAGAGAUUUACAGCACACAUAAAACCAUUAAAUCAGGAAACUAAAUCACUGAUUUAAGGAAAGAAUAAUUUCUAGGUAGAUUUUCCUAAAAAUACAUAGAUUUGCACCUAAAUAGCUAUGUUACAGCUAAUGACUAAUUUACAGCUAAUAUAUAAUUAUAGCACAUAUUUUUUCUAAUUUUCUAACACUCCCCCUCAAGCUGGUUUGAAGAUAUCCUCCAUAGCCAGCUUGCCAACUAGAAAAUUGAACUGUUUUGUGUGUAGUCCUUUGGUAAAGACAUCAGCCACUUGUUCUCCAGUAGGAAUGUGCUCCAUAUGAACCAAUCCAUUAUCUAUCUUCUCCUUGAUGAAAUGCUUGUCAAUCUCCACAUGUUUUGUGCGGUCAUGAAGGACUGGAUUGUGUGCUAUUGAGAUUGCUACCUUGUUGUCACAGUACAACUUCAUAGGAGAUGAUUUUGUCGCUUUUAACUCUUCCAACAGCCUCCUAAUCCACAUGAUCUCACAAAUACCAUGGGCUACAGCUCUAAAUUCAGCCUCAGCACUGCUCCUAGCUACCACAUUCUGUUUCUUGCUUCUCUAUGUAACCAAAUUACCACCUACAAAUGAACAGUAUCCAGAAGUGGAUCUUCGGUCUACUAUGCUUCCAGCCCAAUCUGCGUCUGUGUAGGCUUCAAUCUGCAAGUGUCCUUGUGGCUUAAACAGAAGUCCUUUGCCCGGUGUCCCUUUUAGAUACUUUAAAAUUCUGUAGACAGCUUCAAAGUGUGCCGGUCCUGGGGCAUGCAUAAAUUGGCUAACCAUACUAACAGAGAAGGAUAUAUCUGGGCGUGUAUGGGAUAGAUAAAUCAAUCUCCCAACAAGUCUCUGAUAAUGCUCCCUAUUCUUCACAUUCUCAGCUUCUGUAGGUUGCAGUUUUACAUUAGGUUCUAUAGGGGUUUCAGCAGGUUUACACCCUAGCAUACCUGCCUCGUUUAACAAGUCGAUAACAUACUUCUUCUGAUUUACAGAAAUGCCUUCUCUAGAUCUAGCAAACUCCAUCCCAAGAAAGUAUUUUAAUGCCCCGAGAUCUUUAAUCUCAAACUCCUCAGCCAGUUUCUUUUUUAACUUUGCUAGCUCAUCACAAUCAUCCCCAGUUAACACGAUAUCAUCCACGUAAACUAUCAAGAUAGCUAUUUUACCAUCAUUUGAAUGCUUGUAAAACAUUGUAUGAUCAGCUUGACUUUGAAUAUAUGCAUAGCGCUUAAUCACCUUGCCAAAGCGCUCAAACCAAGCUCUUGGUGACUGUUUAAGUCCAUACAAGGACUUCUUCAAUCUGCACACUCUCCCAUUUCCAUACCUUUCUUCAAAGCCUGGUGGGGAACUCAUAUAUACCUCCUCCUCAAGGUCUCCAUUAAGGAAAGCAUUUUUAACGUCCAAUUGGUGUAAGGGCCAAUUAGAGUUAACAGCAAGAGACAACAGGACCCUAAUUGAGUUGAUUUUAGCUACCGGAGCAAAGGUCUCUUGGUAAUCUAUCCCAUAGGUUUGAGUAAAACCUUUUGCAACAAGACGGGCUUUGUAUCUCUCGACACUCCCAUCUGCCUUACUCUUGAUAGUAAACACCCAUUUGCACCCCACAACCUUUUUUCCAUUCGGUAAUUCUACCAUCUCCCAAGUAUCAUUCUUCUUCAAGGCAUUCAUCUCUUCAAACACAGCCAACCUCCAAUUUGGAUCACCAAGUGCUUUUUGAAUAUUUCUAGGCACAACAAGUUUUGAAAUGUUUGUAGUGAAAGCUCUAUAAUUGUCAGAAAGGUUUUGAUAGGAAAUAUAUUUGGCAAUAGGAUGUUUGGUACAUGUUCGGGUUCCUUUUCUAAGGGCAAUGGGGAGGUCAAGAUUAAGAUUCUGUUCAAGAAUAACAGGGGCUGGUUCCAAAAUAGAUUCAGGUGCAGAGUUCUCUUCCCUAGAAUCUGAUCGUAAUGGUAAGUUUAAGUCAGUAAUAGGAAAGGAAGAGGAAGGAACAGAAGAAGGAUUACCUGAUGCAUUUGGAUGACCAUUGCUUAGGGCUUCCGGUUGACCACGUGCUUGGAUAAUGGCCUGGUCUCUACCACCUCUAAGGACACCUUUCCUAGAAUAAACCACAGGCUCAAGAUUGUUUCUAUUUUUUUCCAUUCGUAGUAUUUCUUUUUCUGUCAGACCAAUGUCAGAUUCGGUUUCUUUAGGCCUAGUUUCCAAGGUUUCUUUUUCAAAAAAGGUAUCAAGUAGUGUGCUAGGUAAGGGUUCAGCAAUUUCCCAAAAAUUUGGUUCAACUAUCUUCUCCCCCUGAAGCAAAUUUUUGGUAAAGUAUGAUGUGUUUUCCAUGAAAGAAACAUCCAUAGUGACAAAAAAACGUUUUGUAAAGGGAUUAAAGCAUUUGUAACCUUUUUUAUUGGGUGCAUACCCUAUAAAAACACAUUUUUCAGCUCUUGGAUCUAAUUUAGACCUUAGCCUCUUUGGAGUGUGCACAUAUGCUGUGCAGCCAAAUAUUUUCAAAGGUAAGUCAGAAUUGAUUCUAGAUUCUGGGAAUACCUUUUUUAAGCAAUCCAACGGGGUGAUAUAUUGUAAAACUUUGGUAGGCAUCCUGUUAAUAAGAUACGAAGCUGUCAGUAUAGCAUCACCCCAUAGAUACUUUGGAACAUUCAUAUAAAACAUCAUGGCUCUAGCUACUUCUAACAAGUGCUUGUUCUUACGCUCAGCAAUGCCAUUUUGUUCAGGUGUGUCGGAACAAGAGGAUUGGUGUAAAAUUCCUUGUUCAUUUAAAAAAGUUUUCAAAACUUUAUUAAAAUACUCUGUUUCGUUGUCAGAUCUCAAAAUACUAAUUUUUGUUUGAAACUGAGUUUCAAUCAUCCUAUAAAAUUCUUUAAAAAUCUGUUCUACAUCAGAUUUUUCUCUCAUUAAGUAAACCCAACACAGACGUGUAUGAUCGUCAAUAAAAGUCACAAACCAUUUUUUUCCAGAAAUUGUGGUCACUUUUGAAGGACCCCAAACAUCACUGUGGAAUAAAUAAAACGGUCUUGAAGCAUGAUAAGGUUUUGGAAUAUAAGAUUUUCUUUGACUUUUUGCCAUUAAACAACUCUCACAUUGAAAUGAUGAAUGAUCAAUCCCUUUAAAUAGCACUGGAAAUAAAUGUUUUAAAUAAGGAAAACUUGGGUGGCCUAAACGACAAUGCCAAACCAUUAUUUGAUCACGAGCAGAUAAAGAACUAAUACUACUUAGCCCUUGAACUAUUUUAUUACUAAGAAAUUUAUCCUCGAAAUAAUAGAGACCAUUAAUCAUCCUAGCACUGCCAAUCGUCUUCCCUGAGCUCCGGUCCUGAAAAAUGCAAUAGGAUUCAUAGAAAAUAACAGAACAGUUAGAGUCUCUAGAUAGUUUGCUAACUGACAAGAGAUUACAAGCAAGUUUAGGGACAUAGAGAACAGAUUUAAGAUCUACUCUCUCAGAAAGUUUUAUAAGGCAUUUUCCUACAAUUGGUGAGAGAUUACCAUCGGCUAUCCUAACCUUCUUAUUUUCGGGACAUGGUGAAAAAGUUUCAAACAAAUGUAAGGAAUUGGUCAUAUGGUCGGAUGCUCCUGAAUCUAUUAUCCAUGGAGCAGAUUUAAAUUGACAAGAUAGAGCAUAGAAUUUAUUACCUGUGUGUGCCACAGAAACACUAGGAACAUUGGGUACCGAAUUAAAUUUUAACAGUGAAAGAAGAUGCUCCAUCUGCUCUUUGGUGAAGGGGCUGGUCUCAACCUCAUUGGCAGUAGGGUUGGCUCGGCCAGCUUUCCCUUUCCAAUUUGCAGGUUUCCCAUGAAUUUUCCAGCAGGUCUCACGGGUAUGGCGAGGCUUAUGACAAAAAUCACACCAAACUUGUUGUUUUUCAUCAGAUUUGCGUUGCAAAAUAGGAGCCUUGCUUCCAGUCAUGGAGACCAGGGCAGAACCUUCAGCAACCCCAGUUCCCUUCUUGCCAAGCAUCACAUUCCUCCGACUCUCCUCUCUUCUGACCUCUGAAAAAACGUCACCAAUUGAAGGUAGGGGCUGUCUUCCAAUAAUUCUUCCCCUCACCUCAUCAAACUCGACAUUCAGUCCAGCCAAAAACUUAAAAAUGCGGCCAUCCUCUACAGUCUUUUUGUGAUGUUGAGCAUCCUCAGGAGAUUUCCACUCAUAGGUGUUGAAAAGGUCAAGGUCUUGCCAAAUCCGCUUUAAGGAAUUAAAAUAUUUUGUGACAUUGUGCUCCCCUUGUCGCAUCUCUCCGAGUUUGAGGAUCAACUCAAAAAUCUGUGAUUGAUUUCCGAGAUCAGAAUACAUCUGAUUUACAUUCUCCCAAAGCUCUUGUGCUGUUGGAUAGCACAUAUAAUUAGAGCUAAUAUCUUCUUCCAUUGAAUUCACAAGCCACGUCAUCACCAUGGAAUUCUCGGCAUCCCAUGUAACAUAGGCCGGAUCAUCCACUGCAGGAGCCUUCUUUUCACCAGUCAAAUAGCCCAUUUUUCCACGCCCUCUAAUAUACAUCCUAACUGACUGAGACCAUCUCAGAAAAUUGUCACCAUUCAAACGAAUUGUGGUGAUUUGUACAGAAUGAGAUUCUGAGGAGGUAGCACUGAUUUUUGAAACAUCCGUGCUACUAGGAUUGUUCAUAGAGGAUUGAGGGACAGUACUGGAAUUGGAUGAAGAGUCAGACAUGGUUUUAGGGUGCAGGGAUCAAAAGGAAGAAAAAAGGAAUUCCGGCAAGAUAUUCUUCCGGCUCUGAUACCAACUUGAAAAAUAGGUUUGCACAGAAUUAAUUAUUCUGUCAUUGAGAUUGUUCUUUUAUAGAGAUUUACAGCACACAUAAAACCAUUAAAUCAGGAAACUAAAUCACUGAUUUAAGGAAAGAAUAAUUUCUAGGUAGAUUUUCCUAAAAAUACAUAGAUUUGCACCUAAAUAGCUAUGUUACAGCUAAUGACUAAUUUACAGCUAAUAUAUAAUUACAGCACAUAUUUUUUCUAAUUUUCUAACAUUUACUAAUACGGUGGUGUUGAGCAUGUGAAAGCAAACUUUCUGUUGAUUGUUGUAAUGUAUGUUAAGUAACAAGGAUCCUGAUAGCCAUCAUCAUGAAUUGAGCUUACUUUCCUAUCAAAGGUUUGAAUGGGGAUGAGAAACCUCACCCACUAAACGCCAACCCUUGCCUCUGUUAUUCCUUGAACUCUAGUGGCUGCAGGCGCAAAGUGCAUUCACGGCCAAUCAGGCUACAUCCCAGGGGCAAAUCCCAGUUAAUAUUUGCAUCUGAAAGUGAUAUUUUAUUAUUCAAGUAGAAAAGGGAUACUUUCUUUGUUUUAGUAGCUUAUACAUCAUAGUAAUUUUCUAAGUACAGUACCAUAGCGAGGCUGUGAUGGCCUAGACUACUAGGUCAUCAUUCCAAGAAGGUAAUAAAUGGUCUCUUUUUUCUUAAAGGAUGGUGGCGAAGGGAUGUUGUGUGGGCUAAGUUGUGAGCUCUCAUAUAUAUUCUUUUUCCCCCACCCAAUUGUGAAGGUGGUAGUAUGUAUUUGGCUGUAACAUUGCACAUGUAUGAUACCAUCUUUUAAAAAGAUGGGUGCUGACAUGUUGCUUCCGUUAGGCUCUCUUUAUAUAACGAGAUGGUGGAAAUUAUAAUUUCCUUUGUUGGAGAAAUUUGUUCUUGCAAGGACCUUUAACAUUACAGACCCUGAGAUUUUAAACUCUUUGGCUACUGUCUCAUUACUUUGCAAAACCUUAGAUAUAGGCUUAUGUUUUAGACCUUUUCAUAAAAGAAGCCAUGACUGGUGGUCAAUCUGACUUUUAGGGCCAGUUAGUGACUUACUUAGCCGACCAUCAGGCUAACUGUUGGGUCAGUGCAGUUUUACUUUCAAAUGGUGCAUAAUGACCUAGGCUAUCUUGGUAAAUAAAGGUUGAAGUAGGCCACUUGGCUUCAGAAGUCAAAAUUUGCAGCAUUUCAUUUCUCUUAAGACGACAUACUCAAAUCAAGUAAUUUUUAUUCCAACUAAAGAGUGUUCUUACAUGAAUCCUUUUGUGCAUUUGUACUUUCAAAUGGUGCAGAAUGAUUAGAAGAAUAGUCUUCUGUUCAUCUAUUUAUAGCUGUAUACCUCACCUAGUUAGUCUGGAAUAUUUUCAGGACUCAUGGCGUGAACUAGCAAGUGCUUUUGCUAAUGAUAAAACUUUGAUUUUGUUGAAUUCCACCAAUCAGGUGAGAACACAAGCUGCAUUCAUUUGUGAUAUAUCUAUACAUAGCUUCCAUGUUUACCAUUCGUAACUAUAAUGCUUUGAUUCUUCUUCAGCGUUUGCUGGCUCAAACGCUUGUUCUCUCAGCUUAUGGAAUGAGAAAUUCAGAAUCUUCCAAUCAGUAAGUCUUCCAUCUAGGAUUUUCUCAGUGCAUCUAUUCUCUGCUUGUGAAUUUUAAUGCUGCUAAUUGGUCUGGUAUCAAUUUCAUAGAUACGUACGGGAUCUUACACGCCAUGCUACUGCAUAUCUAGUGGAACUGUCUGGCAAGAAUGACCUCAAAAAUGUUGCUCAACAACCAGAUAUCAUCCUGUUGGUUAGUGCAUACAAUUUUUAUGGGGCAAAAUAAUCCCGAAUCCAGGAAUAUAUAGAGGAAUGAUAUAUCUAGAGGAACGAUUAUUUUUCAAUGCCAUCCUGUAGGUCAGCUGCUUGUUGGAGCGGCUCCGUGGAGCUGCCAAUGCGACAGAACCUCGAACUCAGAAGGCAAUUUAUGAGAUGGGUUUCUCUGUAAUGAACCCUGUUCUGCUGCUUCUUAAAGUUUAUAAACAUGAGGUACCACAUGUAUAUCUCUAUGUCAACUGUACUUCCUUUCAAUACAUAAGUUUAGAAAGUACGGUUUCCAUCAUCAUCAAAACUUCUCUCUUUCACCUCAGAAUUUAUUUGUCUCGGCACAAAAAUCUGCAUAGAUACCUUUUACUUUUUCCCUUUUCUUCUUGUUGAAGCCAUUUGAGUUGAGCAUGGUACUGCCAGUUUCCUUCUCAUUUACUUCCACGAAUGCAGUUAACAAUUAGUAAAAACUAUCUCCAACUAUUUCAAUGCAUAUCAUUAGUUAACAUUAACUGUGCUUCUGGUGCUUAAAACUUUAAUCCUUUGUCAACUUACAUGCUGUUAAGACUGUUCAUUUACGCUAUGCUAAUCUCUGAUUUUUGCUUAGUCUGCAGUUGUUUAUCUGCUACUUAAAUUUGUUGUUGACUGGGUGGAUGGACAAAUUUCCUACCUAGAGGCUCAAGAGACUAAUAUCGUUAUUGAUUUCUGCACGCGUUUACUUCAGCUUUACUCAUCUCACAAUAUCGGCAAGGUACAGUUUUGGUACAUUGUUGUCUCUACUAAAUCAAUGCUAGUCUUGAUAUCUUUUGUGAUGCAUUCUAAUCUCCUUUUUAUCAGCACAAAUAUCUGUUAUUAAUAUUUUUAUUUAUGGUCAUAUGUCUCUAUUGUUGUUGCUUCUACAUUCCAUUCACUGCGGUGAAGUUUACAAAGCAUUUAGAAGUAUUCAGGUGGUAUCAUAAUACUGUUGCUUUCUUCUUCCAGUCCAUACAAUAAAUUAUUAUUUGCUAUGAUUUUGUAUUUUCUAUAUCAGCUUUGCCACUUCGAUGCCAAACUGUUUCAUUUUUAUGCAGGGGGUUUAAUCCAAAUUUUGUUGUUUGUAAGGUUUCUGAUCUGUUUUCACAUGGAAAGGUUCUUUUUAUGCGGCAGAGUAAAUAAUUUUUAAAUAAAAUAGGAGCUAAAUCUUCCAAACUAUUUUUCGGAAAAGUGAUAGUUCUCAUGCUUGUAGCCUUUUUUCUGCAUUGCCAGUGUUUAGCUUUUAUCCAAUCCAAAUAUAUUGUAGAAUAUCUGACUAUUUGUCCUCCUUUAAGUGUAAAGUUGAUGAUUUUUUUAUGCCUUCUUUCCUGUUUUAUUUUCUUCUAUCAUGUGUAGCCUCAGAACCUGAUAUUAUGUGUAUCAUCUUUUAACUUUUUUUUUUAAUCGUCAAAUAAAAUGGGAAUGCAGGAAUUUUGUUUUAAUGAUGCACCAGAUUUUAUAUCAUUGCUUUACCAAUAUUAAUGUUUUAGUUGAUUUUAACUUAUGAAAUCUGUAAUACCUCAAUUGUGUUGUUUCCCUAUCCACCGACACUUUUUCUUUCUUCAAAUUCUCUUUCAUUCACUAUUUUUCCAGAUGUUGAUGACUCAAUCAAGCAGCUUACUUGGUGAAGCCAAGACGGAAAAGUACAAAGAUUUGCGUGCUCUUUUUCAACUUCUUUCAAAUCUCUGUUCAAAGGAUCUAGUAGGUCUUUCUAGUACAUGUAUUCACACCAUUGAGAGAAAAAUUUUGCUAUCCGUAUGUUGAGCAUUUGGUGAACCUUAAGAGACUACAUAUAUUGCAGGUUGACUUCUCAUCAGAUUCCAUCGAAGCACAGGCAAUCAAUAUAUCUCAGGUAAAGUCUUACUGUUUGCUCAACAGAGUCUUGUAAACCAGUGAAUGGUGUCUUACACUUUCUUGCAGGUUGUUUUCUUUGGUCUUCACAUUGUUACCCCUCUGAUGUCUGGGGACCUGUUGAAAUACCCCAAGCUUUGUCAUGAUGUAAGAAUUCCUUCCAUUUUUAAAUGGAUACCCUUUUUUAACCUUAAGAUGUUGAUGUACAGUGUUUGUUGUGCAGUACUUCUCCCUGCUAUCUCAUUUACUGGAAGUUUAUCCUGAAACUGUUGCCCAACUAAGUACUGAAGCCUUUGCUCAUGUUCUUGGAACCCUUGACUUUGGUCUUCAUCACCAGGUAAAAUGUCUGUCCAUUCUUCAGCUGUCCACCCCUGUAAUGAAUAUAUGUUUCCUAUGUUUUAAUAUUCUGCUUUAAGAUUGGUUUACUGAGGAAUUCUGCAUGUUCAUACUAUAUGGGAUUAAGUGGAGAAAAGAAAAUAAGUUCAGCCAUUUUUAACUAGUAUGUUUCGUUGGUAUGCACUGUCCUGGUUGCAUUCUAUACCAUAUUUGUAUGCUUGGAAUAUUUUGCAAGUUUUUCACUUUUCAUUUCAAUGCUACAGGACUCAGAGAUUGUUGACAUGUGCCUAAGAGCUCUAAGAGCUCUGGCUUCCUAUCACUACAAGGAGACGGGUGCUGGUAAAGUUGGCUUGGCUGCUCAAGCUGCAGGUAUCAAUAAUUCAAAUGGAAAUCCAGAGGAAGGAGUUUUGAGUAGGUUUCUUCGUUCAUUACUGCAGCUGCUUCUUUUUGAAGAUUACAGGUAAUUGUCACUCACUCAUUCUCUGCACACUUUCUUCUAAGAAAGCUUAUCAUCUGCACCCUUGGAAUGACAGUUCAUGCAAGGUGUGCUUGAUAUUCUCCCCUUUGCUUUUUGUAAAUAAUACCUUACUCAUUUGCUUAUGAUUGCAGUCCUGAUAUGGUUGGUACUGCAGCUGAUGCUCUCUUUCCUCUGAUCCUCUGUGAACCACGUUUAUAUCAGGUAUUACUCAAGUUAUUUGUAUGGUCAGACAUUUGAAAAUAAUUUAAAGUUCCAUUUGAUUGGAUUGUUCACAUUGGUAUUCAAGUGCUCUUGAUCCAAAGAUGAAAUUAUUUUAGUUUUCAAGUACUCAGUAACAUUGUACAUUUUCUUAAUACUUUGAUGAGAGUGCACUAACUAGAGAAGAGAUAAAGUUGUAUUGCUACACCCCUGUUGGACUAGGUAUUAACAGAACCCCUCUUCCUUCUUCACCACAAGCUAAGAGAAAAUUCAAUGAAAUUUUGCUAUAUUUCUCUUCCUAUCUGUUGUUAUAUGAACAUCUUAUUAAGACAUGGUGUGGGGAAAUACUUUUUGCUGCAGAGAUUGGGCAGUGAGUUGAUUGAAAGGCAAGCAAAUCCACCAUUCAAAUCAAGGCUGGCAAAUGCAUUGCAGUCCCUCACAAGCUCGAAUCAGCUUUCCUCUACCCUUGAUCGUGUGAAUUACCAGAGAUUCAGGAAGAACCUAACCAACUUCCUGGUUGAAGUUCGUGGGUUUUUACGAACAAUGUGAUGUGUGCAAUCCACUGUAUAUAUGUUGAAGGUAACCCAUUUGUUCUCUCAUUCUUCAGCAUUUGCAAGAAGCAGAAAUCUGAGCAUUGCAUCUUCUGCACAGCCACGAUUAUCAGGCGAUUGUAUAUACUAGUAAACAGGAGUUUCCUAGUUUUAGAUGUUUCUCAUGAUGAAACAGCAAUUGUACAAGUUCGAUGCCAGAGCUCGAUGGAUCGUUCCAUGGAAGCAAUUUGUAACUACAGAUGACAAUUGGUUGAUUGCUAGUUCUUCAUUUUUUACAGCUUCUGGCGUCAGUUUUCACAUCCAUCACCGAAUUUUUGGUGUGAAUUAUGGGCCUUACUUGAAUGCAAAAGCUGCUUUGGAUUACCAGAAUAUUUUAUCUGUUGCAUUCUCUAAUAUCUAGUAAUUGUAACUUGGUGCAUUGUUUCAAGCUUUCAGCUCUUGCUCAAUAGUUUAUCUUGGGAACAAGCUGCUUAUUACUUGGAGGUUUAGAAUUUGAGUCAGCGGAUCUCAUUUAAUAUCGUAUAGAGCUUUUGUUCCCAUAUCAUCUAUCAUUGUGGGUUGUGGAUAUUGGAUUGCUUGUUAAAUAUGGAGGUUGAUGGUAGGAGUUUAUAGUCAAAAUGGAACAGCUGUGUAUAUAUGAUCAUGAAAAUGGAUGAUAAUAGCAAAAUUUGGAGAGAGACCAUUUGACGAGAAAUUAUAAGUUCCACAUGUAACAAAUACGAGUUAUUAUCAAAUAAAUCGAGA
RNAcentral lists this long non-coding RNA (44489 nucleotides) under Citrus maxima (pomelo). RNAcentral's name for it is "long non-coding RNA (CMAX_LNC003401)". The record is from RNAcentral. Lineage: Eukaryota; Viridiplantae; Streptophyta; Magnoliopsida; Sapindales; Rutaceae.